GCAACGUGCUCCGUUCCGUUAUUCCGAACGCGCCAAAUCUACGCCACGUCUGCCUCCAAACCGGAGGGAAACACUACGUGGGACCGUUCGAGUCGUUCGGCAAGAUACGGCCUCACGACACGCCCUUCACCGAAGACCUGCCAAGACUGAAUGUGACAAACUUUUAUUACACUCAAGAAGACAUAUUGUUUGAAGAAGUCGAAAAAAGAAAGGGGCCGUUGUCAUUGACUUGGUCCGUACACAGGCCUCAUAUAAUAUUUGGGUUUUCACCGUACAGUAUGAUGAAUGUUGUAGGCACUCUGUGUGUGUAUGCGGCUAUAUGUAAACAUGAAGGGGUUCCUUUACUGUUUCCAGGGAGUAAAGAUUGUUGGGAGGGCUACUCGGUUGCUUCGGACGCGGAUUUGAUUGCGGAGCAACAGAUUUGGGCGGCGGUGGAUCCGUAUGCGAGAAACGAAGCUUUUAACUGCAGCAAUGGGGAUGUUUUUAAGUGGAAGCAUUUGUGGAAAGUGUUGGCUGAGCAGUUUGAGAUUGAGAAUUAUGGGUUACCACAGGAGGGCGAGAGAGUGAGAUUGGAGGAAAUUAUGAGAGGUAAAGAAGGUGUGUGGGAGCAGAUCGUGAAAGAGAAUCAGCUGCAGCUCACAAAGUUGAGUGAGGUGGCUGUCUGGUGGUUUGCAGAUAUGAUGUUAGAUGGAGGGUUUUUGUUGUUGGAUAGUAUGAAUAAGAGCAAGGAGCACGGAUUCUUGGGCUUCAGGAAUUCUAAGAAUUCUUUCGUUAAUUGGAUUGACAAGAUGAAAACUUACAGGAUUGUGCCUUAGAGGAGUGAUAUUCUGUGGAGGUUGUAAUUGUUAUUUGGUGAGUAAAAUGGUUAUUAUGUUUCAUUUUCAUGAUUCAUGUAACUGUUUGAAAAAUCAAUGGUUUUUGGUCCGAGGUUGGAAAAUCUACAGUCUCUUCUCACAUCUGUUUUAUAAAAAUAAAAUUGGAGACUUGUUAAUUUCUGUUUCUUUGUGUUCAUCGGUUCAUCCCGGCUUUUCUUUCAUCUUCCUUGGCAUCACCAAUCACUUGUAAUAAUUGCACAACAAAACUGAGAUUUUAGAAAAAAUACUUUUGUCGGACAGGUGUACAAUUCAUCCCUCCCCCUAGCUUUCUAGCUCUAUAUUUUACAUCUCUCCUACUAUGUAUACUAAGGCCCUGAAUAAAGGAAACAAAUAAUGGAGACAUGUCGUCCCAUGCUUGAAAAAUGUUUCUCGUCAAAGAUAUAUAUACAUCAUUGAUCGUUGAUAUAAACUCUCAGUUGUGUGUGGCGUGCAUAAUUAUUUAAUUACACGAAUCUAGCUAUUCAAUUGCAUAACCGAAUGAUCAUCAAUAAGGCAGAAUCAAGCUUUUGUGGUGUUCUUGUGACAAAAUAUUCUGCUUUUUUCGUUUAAGAAGAUGACAAAAUAUAGAAUACGUAGUGUAACUUGUUAAGUACUUGAAAAUACAGAGCUUAAUGAGACAGAUACUGGGGUUAUAAUAUAUUGGGGUUAUAAUACUUUACCGCCAGCAGGUCCUCAAAAUCAAGAAAGUACUUGAAACAUGGGAUAUGUCGGAUGUUUAACGUUGCAAUCACAUAGUGUGUCAGUUAUUCACGCAUAUCCUCAAUUUGAUAGUGUCUGUCAAAGAGAUCUAUUUAUGGCUAUGCUUUGGUUAAUGAAAAAACUAAUGUAUCCCACAUCGAAGCGAUACAAAAAGGCAGCCAUGACAAAAGAUAUAAAUAAUGAGCGCCAAGCAACUGAAGGACAUACUUACCUGGACGGGGUCAAUGGGCGAUCAUGAAGGCCCAUGGCCUAGGUUGGUGGCCUCCAUUGCACUUGGGAGGUGCACCCGCCUAAGGUCAACCCAAAGUGGUUGAGCCUACGUCAUAAUUUGUGGCAGUGGGGGCCUGCGUUCGCGCGUAUCUUAUUUUACUUACCUAAUAAGAUCCUAAUUAAGGUUUAUUUUAUUAUUUAAAAAUUAAAAAAAAAACUGAAUAAUUAUAUUUGCUCACCUAAACGUUAGGCCCCAUCUUAACAUGUAGUUCCACUAAAAAAUUAGUUUUUCUUUAUUUUCUUGUUUAAGGUGUAGGAUUUUAAUAUUUUUUAAUUAUUCAACUUUAAAUCUUGAUCGAACUUAGACCGGAGAUUUAGUUAAGGAUUAUUCUCUAUUUUGAAAGUUAAAUUUCCAUCAAAUAAGGUUGUUUGAUGAUUUCUACUUAAAAAAAAAAAUUCAAGGUAAUUAAAAAUUAUUAUGCUGAAAAUCUGUUAACGGUUUAUAUAUGAAAAAAAUUAAUCAUACAUAUUUAUGAUAAAAUUUUCAACCAAUCUCAUGUUAACUUCUUUUAAAUAAAAACUUUGCCUAAGACCUAAAAUUUCAUUGUGCCGACCUAAACCAUAGUUUAGGAUGGAUGGAUUUUGUUGACUUUUUUACCAUCUGACAGGUACAAUAUGAGUGCCUUAACUGACUUGGAUCCUUAUUAUCCUACUACGUGUAUGGCUUAAAUUGACUAUAAAGAAAAUGAGGCUGGAAAUGUAUUUAAUAUUCUAAAAGCUUGUCCGAAAUUGGCUACAAAUAAAAUAAGAGCAGAAAUGUAGUUUUUUUUUUUUUAAGUCGAGCAGAAAUGUAGUUAAUAUUCUGAAGUUGGUAGCUGAUUACAAUUUUAAUUAAUCAUUGUUCUCUUGAUCAUCAUUAUUUCUCUCACCCAAUGGAGAAAGACUGUAUAAUCGGGUCGAUUUAGGUGAUGCCGGGGUUUAGAAAAAAUAUUACAUAUUUUAUCUCAAAUGAUGUGUCAUUUAUUAAGUAGUUGAUAAUUCUUUAUAAUCCAAUUGAAUUAAUUGUAUUAUCUCACCAAUAAAUUAAUGAAUAUUACAUCAAUUGUGAUAAUUUUUGGCAUAAAAAAUUUAAAAUAUAUAACAUUAUUCUUUUAUGCGGAGAUGGAAGCUUGCAAUUUAUCAUGUUCCAAUCUUGAAGACCAUGGAAGAAAGUUGACAAAGAUUGAAAAAAAAUUGUCACUUUCUACCCAAAAAAUAAUUUUAAGAUUUGUUUAAAUGAUCAUACAAUACUUAGUUUCAUAAAUGGAUACAUAAAUAUUUUUUUAUUAUUAUAGUAUUAUACCUUUUUGCAACUAUACCCAAAUUUGGUAUAGAAAUACAAAAUGUCAUUUUCUAUGGGUAGGCAUUCGAGGAUCGCAAAAAAACGAUGCCGACCACCUAAAAAAUAUAGGUACGAAAACUAUAUUUAUUAGAAAACUAUAUUUAAUUAUUUUUAUUAUGCAUUUUAAUCUUUGUAUAUAGUAUAUUGGCUUUUCAGUUCAACCACUCUUAAGGAUUUCUUUGAGAUUGAGGAUGAACGUUGUAUCCUAUAAGUAGCUUAUUUUAUAAGUUCUGAAAAAACCUAUAAAAUUCAUCUUUUCGAGCCCAAAAGUCAAAACAUGGCGACAUAUGUGUUGUUGAAUCGUGGAGUGAAAAAACCUAUCAAAUUCAUCUUUUCGAGCCCAAAAGUCAAAACAUGGCGACAUAUGUGUUGUUGAAUCGUGGAGUGAAAAAACCUAUCAAAAUCAUCUUUUCGAGAUAAAAAGCCAGACAAAUACCGAGGGCGGAACUAAGACUUUAAUUUAACAGGAGUCAUAAUAGAGGAUUUAAAAAAUUGAUUAGGUUGUCGCAUAAAAUUUAUAAAAUUGAAGAGGCAUUAAAAUGGAGAUUAUAAUAGUUAAAUUUAAAUCAUAAAAUUUAGUAUACCAUAAAAAAGGUCUAAGAUAUAUAUUUUUUUAAACAUGCAUGCAUGCAUGCUUCCGCCACAGUCAUACCCUAACGCAAACUUAAGACCGGUCUUAACAACGCCAAGUUUUUAAAGGGAGAUGGAGGAAAGAAAGAAAUACUCACUUGAUUCGAGUGCCCUCAAUGCCCCCUUAGACUUGACUCAUGAAUCAGUAGUUACUAGUGAUCACGUGGAAAUUGUCAACUUGCUGGGCUAAUUAUGCAAUAAUCGCUACGUGUUGUUAUAAACUUAUAGUUAGCGCAAAUAUGUUGUUGUUUUAGUUAACAAAUUAUUCUUAUUAAUUUUAAGAAAAAUAUUUAUAUCAGAAAUUGUUUCAUAAUUUGAAUUGGUCAUCAACUAGCAAAUAAUUAAGAGCCAUCAAUAUUUGAAAUGGUGGGAUGCUAAUAGCAAUAAAUCCGAGCACGAUUAAUACCAAAAAGUAAAACACGGCGCCUUAUUUCAAAGUUUCAAUGAUUUUUUUUUUUAUAAAAAAAAGCACAUAACACGAUGGUCAACCAUACCAGGAAGAAAUAUCAGUUAUCUCAGAUUAUUAUAAUAAAAUCAGAAAGGUCGUUGCCCAGCAGGGCGAAGUGGCCCACCGAACACUGGCCCGCAGCAGGUCAGCUCCAUCGAAGGAUAAAGACCAGAGUAUCAAAAUGAAGUGACAGCCCGAGAUUUCAUUUAGUCAUAUCCUAAUCACGAUCAAGGAGACAAUUAAAUAAAAUUGAGUGGCGUACGUAUAAAUUAUAGAUUCAAGAGAGCUUAAUGGUUAAGGAUUAGAAAGUGCGGACUAGUACGCAAAGGCAAAUGAAAAGAAGAAACUGAGAAGAAACAUCAACGUCGAUGUAAAAUUAUGUAUUAAUUGUAGUAGAUGGCUUAUCUUUUUUUUUUUUUCUCUCCCCCCACCCCCUCCUAAAGUCGGAAAACGCCAACAUUAUGCAUGGUUUGCUCAUGGACUCCAUGUAUCUUUCAUGUUUUGUUUAAGAAUGAAGCUCAAAUGAGGGCACUUGACUGAGUAUGACAAGUUAUUUACGAGAUAAUCGAGAAAUUGCAAAGUCAGUAUCUUUCAUGCUGGUUAAGUAAAGAUAUUGGACGGUACGACUGCUAUUAUUUGUAAGGCCACGGUCAUGUCAGAGUUGCUACCGUGAAGCUAUAACGUAGCUGGAUCCUAUUUAUAAAUGUAAUGUGCAAAUAACAUGUUUUUAAACUUAAUAUAUUUUUAUUUAAUGUAUGAAAUUUGAAAUUUUAUUAAUUUUAGAUAUUUUUUUUAAAAAAUUAUUUAUUUUUUAUAACUUAUGUCUGAUUUAUAUAUGUUUGUAUCGGAAUAGAAAAAAUAAUUUUUUUUUUACUUUUAUUUGAAUAGAAAAAAGUCUAAAGAGAAGUAAAUAUUAUAUUUAAAAAAUAUUUGUAUAAAAUAUAUUUAUUUCUUAAGUUAUAAAAUCUAAUCUUUUUUGUUUUGGUUUGCAAGGAUAUAAAUGUCAAAGAAUUAUGUUUAAGUUUUUUUAUUUAUAAAAAUAAAAAGAUGUCGCUUAUAUUUAGUAUUAAAAAAAACAUAUCAUUUAAAUAUUCAUAUUUAAAUUCAUUCAGACAUUAGAAAAAUUCAGAGACAUUUAGAUUUCAGAUAAAAAAACAAACACUACCUUAAAUAAGGAAUGGUAGAAACCCCUAUAGGGAUGGUGCCUUGGGAAUUUUUCACAUUUGAGGAGGGUAUGAAGAUAAUUUGAUACUCAAUUUCUUAUUCAGAGAAGGAAUGAAGAUAAUUUUUUUUAUAUCUAAUUUCAUAUCCAGGGAAGGGUCCACCCUUUCCUAUUUCCCCAUUUCCUAUUCUAAUUUUUAAUUUUUAAUUUAUUUUCCUAGAAUUAAUAGUGAAUAAAUACUAAAUUUUAAAUUGUAAAAUAUUAGAUAUUAGUGUAAGUAACAAAUAUGAAAAUGCUUAUACAAAUACUAUAAAUAUUAGUUAAUACAAAAAAUUUAUUGUAAUUUAGACUUAACUAUAGCCCAAAAUCAGUAAUCGCACAUGCCUACAAUUCACAAAUCAAAUUCUAAGUCACUCUCUCACAACAUUACACAUCCCUGCCAAAUUAUUUGUGCCAUAACUAGUAUCCAGCUUGUCAUCAUCUCAUCAUAGGUCACUAGUACAUUGCAUUGUUGGUGGCCGAGUAGUCUAACUCAUCGCGACGUCAACUCGUAGCCCCACACGUGGCUUCAUUGCGCUAUAAUCGACCAAGAGAUAUCAUUACUCAUGGACAACACUCACGUCAAUAUUGUAAAAGAAUCACAUUAUUUGAAUUUUGUUUUCAAAAUCAUUAUUUGAGUAUUGUAUAUACCAAAAGUUUGAUGGAGUAGAAUGAAAUAUGACAUGUUUAUGAUCAUUCUCAUUUUAUUUUAUAUGAUUAAAUUAAGUGUAAUAUGACCUAUUUAGAUUAAUAUGAUUAAAUUAAGUGUAAAAACUAAAAAAAUAUCAGUUAUUUGGGGAUUAUGGACCCUUAGAGAUCUCUUGUUAUUUUUUAGAGAGGGGAUGGAGAUCCCUCAAGCAAUUUUGAUGGGAACAAGAACCUAAGUAGAAUAUUAAGAAUGGGUACAGAGAUUACGAUCUCCUCUUUUCGUCUCUCCAUUACCAUUUAAGGUUUAAACAAUGAAGGAAGCAUGCCAUUUUUAUCAUGAUUAUGUAAGUACGCGUGUCACACGUGCAAUCAAGCUUUGGAAAAUCAAUUGCUUUGGUUUGAUGUUGGAAAGCCUUCGUUCUACCAUCUCUUUUGUUUCAGAGACUUCUAAUGAGCAAAAAUUACGUGGAAACCCUUGUACUACCCAAAUAGAAGUCAUGUUUGUUGGUUAGAUUUCCAGCUAUGUAUUGCAUUUUACGUCACUCUCAAACUUCAAUAAAAUUGAGUCAAGUUGAUGAAAAGGUGAACAAAAGAAUGUAAAACAAAAUGUAAAUUCAAAUUUCUCGGUUUUCGCUUCAUAUAUGCAUUAAAAAUAGAACACUUCUAUGUUCAUUGUAUGUUAAUAUUUGCAACCAAUCACUCUGUCAAAAUUAAACGACUCUUGAUAUAUAUUAAUAUUAUUCGAAGAAUUUGAGUUUCUCUGCUGCAAACGAUAUGUUUGGCAAAUCUAGGACUAGAGUGCUCUAUUUAUAUUUAUUUUUGGGAUGAUUUAUAACAAGAGAUUUCUUAUAUAUAUUUUAGCUUUCCUUUUGUUAUUGUAGUUGUCUAACUAUUUUGAGGGAUAAGGCUCACUAUGUCUCCCUUAAUUAGAUAUAAAUUAUUUUUGGUUUUCAAUAAAAUUACAUCGCCAGCCAAGUUUCAUUGAAAAAAAAUUAUCUAUUUAUUUAUUUUUUAAUGUUAGGAGAUCCUACAAAACUUAAAUCGAUUUAUUUAACCUCAUAUCUCUCCAAACUGUUUGAAAACUACUUGGUCAAAUGCAGGACUUUAAUUCUAACAUAUCUUGAUAGGUCAUGGAUAUAUUAGAGUGGUUCUAAGGAAAAACACAAGUCACAUCUUGGUAGUGUCGUACUGUCGUUAGGGUGCACCAAAUUUAAAACCUUACUACUAAUAUAAAUAAUUAGUACAGAACGAGUAAGGAUCGAUCCCACAGAGACUAUACUAGUUAUAUUUAUUAUCAACUCUAAAGCAAGACUUAAAAUAAAAUAAUAAUAGAAGUAAUUAAUAUAAAUUAAUCUAACGAAAGAAAAUGCCAAUUAAAAAGGGGAGUUUUUGAAUUUUUAACUAAAUAGCAAGAAAUAAAGAAAUUAAACUAUGAAAACAAAAAUUUAAUAAAAACUCUAAUUAAAGAAGAAAGAAAUAAUAAUGAUGAAAACUUUGGUUAAAGGAUUAUUCACCACCACCAAACAUGCACAUAAUAUAUCAAUUUUAUCAUCAAUUUAUAUUGAAACUAUCAACCGUAGACAACAACAAACUUUGUUAGUUUCAAUCUUUCUUUAGUGUGUCGUUAGGCAAAACAAGCUCUUCACCUAAUCUCUAACCAUUAAAUAAUUUAAAACAAACUCUUUAAAUUUAAGAGACUGGAAGCAUUAAGUAGAGAAAUAUAUUAGGUUGAUCUAGACAAUAAACACACAAGCUCGGAUUAUUUAACCUAGGUUAUGUUCUCCAAUUGAAAUCACUGAUUCCAACCUGCUACUUAAUCUCAAGACAAUUACGGAUCAAGAAUUUUAAUCUAACAAUAGAAUUUAUUCAAGUCCUAUCUAAUUGGCCACUCAAACAAGACGAGAAUAAAAUCAUAAACAUUAAUUAUAGAAGAACAUAAACAAUCUCAAUUAAAUAAAUUGAAUGAUAUAAAUUAAAAAUUAAUCAUAUGACAUGUUUGGGGUUUUGAAUUCACCAUCAACUAAAUAGAAAAUCUAGCCUAACAUAAUUAAAUUGGGAAUAAAAGAAUUGAUAAAACCAAUCACGGAGAUUAAUUUAAGCGGCUGCCUUUUUCUUCAAUUCCCUUCGGCUGGUGAUUUUUUUUUCUCCUUUGCGACUGCCAAUCUAUCUAUAUAUAUUAAGUUGGGACUUGAGGAGGUGAUGUGGCAUCACCAUUUCUCAUAUUUGUAUAUUCUCUAUUAUCUAAUAAAUAGAGAAAUUUUCUUUUAGAUUUGGCUUUUCAUCUACUCAUAAUUAAUUUGAUUGUUAUUACACAAUAACAAUUAUGUAAAGAUUUUAAUGAGGCAUAUUAUUUGUAGUGAACAUCCAAGGGGGGGUGUUAUGAAUUUAUUAAAAUAAAUGUAGAUGUUCAUAACAUAUAUCUCUUAGUCUCUCCACUAUCUCCCAUUAGCAACCUUUAGCUUUCCUAUAACUCCCACUAUCUCACAAGAAAUUAUGUUCCAUAAUUUUUCAUUAAUUUUAUGGAGUGAUUAUGUAACUAUAAAAGGAGAGCUCAUCUUUUUGUUUUGUACACACACAAUUGAAAUGAAUAAAAUUACUCUAUAAUAUAUUCUCUCAUUUUAUUCUUUAUCUUGCGUUGCUUCUUUAUUUGUAUUGUUGGCUAAUAGCUUUUUUUUGUUUUUUAUAAGGCUAAAAAAAAUCAAUUUAAAUUUUUUAUCAGUUUUAUCAAGUGUAAAGUAAGAAAAAAAGAUAAUACUAAAUUCUUUUUUCAAAGCCACGUGAAGCGCGGUUAUAUUUUCUAGUUGUUUUGCAUGUGUGGCUGCCGAAUAUAUAUUCCCCCUCGUGUUGCUUCCACUUGGCCCUUAUAUAAUGCUUCAAUUGUGGCUUUUAAAUCCUUGCAUGGAAAGAAUUAAAUCAAAGCAAAAACCGCCACUUUCAUAACGUGCUUGCCAUUUAAAUUGUCAUGCAAAACAUUUAAAUUACAUGCAAAAUAUUUCCAAUUAGAGCAUUCACAAACUCUUUUGAUUGGCCAUGCUUAAAGCCAAAAGGCUUUAUUCUUUUCUUCCUCUCACGUGCUGGAUGGCAAUCUCCUUUUUCCAAUUUUAGCUCCAUGCGAUGGCUUAGCUUGUAAUUGGCUUGGCUUCCUUUAGCUCCAUGUGUAAAAUUAAUUUUGCUUGGCCCGUACAAGCUCUAAUUGGAAAAUAUUCUUUAUUUCUCCAAUUCUUGAUCUCUUGUGCACUUUUGUCUCCCAAUCUUCAAUUCUUUUCUUAUUUUGAUUCUCUCAAUCAGAUUUCUUUCAUGAAUGCUCCGAUUUAAUAUCUCUUUAAUAUCAAAAAAUACUUAAAAUAACAAAAUAAAAAAACUAAGAUAAAAAAUAACACAAUAAAAAUAUAAUUUACUAAAUAAAAAAUUAACUAAAAUAACUAUAAUAUUUAAGACCAAAACAAGAAAAAGAUGGAGAAAUUAAUAGCAAAAUAUAUGAAAAAUAUGCACUUAUCACAUCUACACAUGUAAAGUGAUAAAUAGUAAAAAGUAUGUUAUAACUUUAAUCGUAUGAUUAUGAAGGAGUGUUCCACCGUGAAGCAGUUCCAACAUAGCCGGACUCAUCUUGAUAAUAUAAUAUGAGUAAUAAAUUGACACUUACUUGGCAAUUAAGUUAAUUAUUAAAAGAUGUCACACGAUUAGCAUUUAGAUAAUUGAUAAACCACAAAGUUAAAUAACACUAUAAACAUCAUAAUUAAUGACAUGUGUAACAAUGAUUUGAGACAAACUAUAUAAACCCCAGUUUCGUAAAUGUAAUACAAUAAAUUAUUAUUGUAUAUUAUAUUUCGAAUUCAUCCGUUACACCGUAAGAUUGAAUUAAUAAAUAUCAAAUAAAUUAAUGGUCAAUUAGCAUCAUUUUCAUCCGAUUAAACUUUCAUAAAAUAACAAUGAACAAAACCAUCCAAUAACUCAUAAAUAAUAAAUCAUAAUUAACUAUCUUAAACAAAUUCCUUAACAAUUACAACUACCGUCUUCAUUAUGUAAACAACAUCGGAGUAAAAGUAAAGCAGCACAGAAAACUCUAUGACGAGGUGGCAACUGGCAUCCAAGAUGACCACGGAGGUGGUGGGCCGAGAUCAGUUGGAUCAGGAGGUCCAGGUGGGCCCAUUGGACCACGAAAGCAGCCUUGUAGCAACCAGCAGCAGCACAGAAAGCUCAAGCUGUCAUAACAAACCCAACGACAAGCAACCGAACACCAGUAUUAGCUUUUUCCGCCAAGAAUUUUUUUUUGUCAACGUGUCAAUUUUUUCGUGAUUGUUCAGCUGCAUCUUAAGUUCCCAUUUUGACACGUGUCACUGUAUCUUUACACUACAUCAUGUAUCAACGAUGUUUACUUGGUGCACUUCAACAAUGAAUGGGACUAACAGAACAGCACAUGGAGAAUUUUGAUUUUUGAAAACCUCAACAUCUAAAUUCGAUGUUUAAUUACUUUCCAUGAACCGAUAACUUCACAAAAGCCACCGAAAGAGUCCAGCAGUCCAAGUAGUGGUGGACCCCACACAGGUGGCCCUCCAGGUCCUCCCGGUCCCAUUGCUAUUUGCUGAUUACUGUUGCCGGCUCUUUAAGCAAAGUUAGUUAACACCAAGGAAAUUAACAAGAGACUUUCAGAAGUCCAAACUCGCUCUUGCUUGUGUAUAUAGAGAUGCAAAAUGUUUUUAUGUUAAAUGAAAGUGGUACAAAUGCCAGAAGGUUUCUUGUGUUUAUAGAAAGUGCAAGCUUAGGAUUUAAGCAUCCAUCUUUGUUGCCACAUUUGCAUCUAAUACUUUCCAACUGCUAGUCUUCUAUGUCUAACAUUCAAGACCCUGCUCAAGAAUGAUAGCAAUUACCAAUCACACGCUCAUUCAAUAAUUCAAGUGAUAAUCUCUUAAGUUAAAACCCAUUUAAUAAUCUAUGGAGGAUUUGUGCCCACAAAUGUGACCGAAUGGUUUUUAAAUAAUUUUAUUUAAUUAGCUACCCAACUUCAAAUCUUAAGAGAAAUAAGGGAUUUAAACAAAAUGAAUUUGAUCAAAAUGAAUAUGGACUUUGCUCACUGCAGUGAAAAAAAAUAAAAUUACAGAAGAUUGAUCGACAGGAGUCUUAAGUGAUAAGCAAUUAGAUCAUAUUUUACUUUCCAGAAGAUGACAUGUCUCAAAGAGGUUUAAGCCAAGAAAUUCCCAAAACGCAAUAAUAGAUGAACAAGUGUGAUUAGAAAGUGCCACCAAGAAAUGAAAAGAAUACUAUAACUAAUAAAUCUAUAAAUCUCAUUUCCAUGAUGACAUUAUAGCAGUGGGUUACCAACCCCAAUUGAAUUAUAUAUAUAUAUUUACUCGAAAAUUAGGUUAGAGGGUAAACUGAUUACACAAAUUCUAUAGAAAAAUGGCCAAAAAGGCUGCCUUUUGCCUCUGUAUAUGUGAGCUAACUUCUAACUAGUAUUCUCUUCCAGAUAAUUCAUCCAUAUACAACUCUGCAAAUCACAAGAAUCCUUCACGAAAUGGCCGCCAAUCCAAUAGAUUUCCCCUCUUCAGUUUCUGUUUUCUGGGGCAUUAUCUGAGCUGCGUGGUCUUGCUGAAAAGAGAAUGCAACAGACUAGUAAGUAGACUACAUUUGAAGAAUUGCAGAUUCGCUUGAAUUGAAAAUAAAAAUUAAGGCAUUUAUUAAAAUGGCUUCUAGAACAGCUUAAGGGGUAGUAUGGGCAGAUUAGUAAAAGGAUGGAAGAAAAAUUAUGCAAGAAUGCUUACUUGAAACAUUUGUGAUAACAUUAACACUUUUCUGAGCAGCAAGAGCUUUCAACUUGUUCCCACUACCUAGUACAAGCAAGCUCCUCAUAUGUUGCUUUUGUUCCCUAGGACUAGCUGUCUUUGUUGUUUGGAUAUUCUCACUUCCUAUCUUUUGAAAAAGGGGAAAAAGAAAACUUGCUUAGCGACGCUUAAUUACUGCUGUUAAUAUUCUGGCCAUUUAACAAACUUAUGCCCAUCGUUUGGAAAACCAAAAAAAUACAAUUAUUUUUCCAAGAAUAUAAGCAUGAAGAAAACUGAAACUAAGAAUGAAAUCUGAGAGGUUCAAAAGGCAUAUAUAUGAAUUAAAAUGAAGUUGAUUAUAAUAAGGGCUAAUAUCAUCAUUUGCAAAGCAAAAAAACCAAAAUAAGAAGCUAGUUUAGAGUUUCUUAUCAGCUAGCUCUAAAGAAAGACAAGUGCAGAAAAUUAAAGAUGUUUUUUUAAACCUCUCUAAUCUUAAACAUAAGUAGUUGAGGUGCCGAAUGCAUGGAUGGAUCCAGUACCGUAAGUAACAAGGCAGCUUCUUCUAAUUAAGCAUAUCGUCCCGUCUGGUUAUUUCCGUUUGCCAGAACGCAACCUCACCCAUGAUCACAUAAUUAUCCACCAACAAAACAAUCGUUGCCAAGGUCAUAAUCAAGCCAUCAUCAGACAGCCCGUGCUCUCCACGGACGGCAGCAGCUAUAACCUCGUGAUAAAUCCAUAACAUUUUCCAUCCAGAAACGAUGUGCGGGACCCAAAUCUGCACUACGAAAAGCACCACGAAAGAAGUUGAGCAACAAAGGUACGUAAAUCGAGAGAAGAAAAUAAUACACAUUGAUGCUUAAAGAGAGCAGAACGCCGGCUCGCAUGCUUUGUGUGCAGACAUGAGAUAAAGCUACUGCGUAUUGUUCCCAGUAAAAGAUCGAAGAAGCUGAUUCGAUUCUGAUGCUGAAUCCCCAGACCAAGACUAAGGUUGGAGCAAGGGUUGCUAUGCCUGCAUAUUCAGAGCCCAACACCUCCGCGAACAACAUCAUCCAGCUGUUUAAGUUUGUGAUGAGCAUCAUUGUUAACAAAGAUAACAUGUCGGGAAGAAGCUCAUGAUUGUGGGUUGGCCAAAUGGGCAUUUUCCCUUUUUCUAAAAUAAUUUUUUCCUCGGUACUGUAUGUAACUUGUCUGUUUGGCUUCUGGGAAAAUAAAUAUGAGAGGAGAAAGCGAUUGGAGAAAAUUUAGCUGAAUUACACGAUGAGGAUUGGAAUUGAGGGAGUCCAAACCAUGUGCUUCUACUCUGUUAGUGCACAAAAUGGGAAAUGGCAGAGAACUCAAAUUAAAGCUUCACAAAAUGGGAAACACCUAUCUAAUAUAAAGUGUUGGGUGGAAGUGACAAAUUAACGAAUUUUGAAGGUCAUAGUCAAUUUAUAGACUUCAUUAAUUCCAAUAUCUUAUUAAUUUCUGACAUUGAAAAUUAACAUAUCGUAGACUUGUUGAGCUGUACAAAACUCGUAACUCAUUCCAGUCACUUUAUUUCUCAAAUUUAUGAUCUUUCAAAAAUCUUCUCAACUCCCACUGUUAUUGCCGGUUUUUCUGUUGAUCAAUUAAAAUUCAUUUCUUCUGUUUGAAUGCAGGCACAUUUAUUUUUCAUCAAUUUUUUUUAUUUACGCAUAUCUAUAUUUUGAGUAAUUGUAAAAAAUUAUGUAUGGGAAUUAAGAAUUAUUGUUAUGUUAUUAACCAAACUCUCAAGAUUUAAAAUGCAGUGGAAAGUUUUGUAUGUUUCAAUAUUAUUUUUUUCAAUAUUUUUUGGAGAAACAAUUGUUCAAAAAAAGUAAAGUCAAAGAGCGAGAAACUUUUGCCAAAAAUUGAAAAUAAGACUUGUACUCCAAGUUAUUGCUAUACGCCCACACAUAACAUAUAUCUCUAGAAUAAAAUGAUGAAUGAGUAUGUAGAAGAUGAAAAAUUCAAGAACAGACCAAUAAGUCUAAAAGAAGAAAUAUUAAUUAGAUGUGAAGAUGAUCGGUAUGAACUUAACGUGUUAUUGGAUUGUUUGAAAUCUUGUAUUGUGAAGAUGGAUACAAUAUUGAAGCUAAUCAUGACAAUGAGUGAACAUGAUAAAAUAAUCAGCGUUCAAAACAUUUGAGCAUUUUACAAUUUAAAUGCAUAGAGAAAUUGUAAGAUGGAUGGAGUGAUGAUGCCACAGAGGCAUUGAUUAAUAAAUUAAGGUUACUUGAUUUUAACCUAAAAAAACUUACUUGCCUUUUGAACUUUGUAACAGGCUAAUAUUUAUAUUUAAUUUUCUCCAUUAUUUUAGUAUUAUGUUUGUCUAUAUUGUUUAUCAUGAAUAUGGAUUUUAAAAUUUUAAGAACCUUGCUUUUAUAAUUAAAAAAAAAAGAGAAAAUAAAGAAAACAACGAACAACAGAAAUAGAUAACAAAUACAUAUUCUUUAAAAAAUUUUAAAUAAUUUAUAUCUAAAAAAAUAUCUAUCUUAACAUGAUUAUGUUCUUUUUACCUACUCACAAUCAAUAAUUUUAUGCAUUCUAAUAAAAUAGAAAUAAUUAAGUCAAAUAAAAAUAAAAUAAGUUCAUGAUCAACACCAACUACCAACAGAGAUGACAAAUAUUUUGUGAUAGAUUGUGGACAAAAUAACGUCUAUCAUAAAAGCAUGCGAGCUCGUGAUGGAAUUACAGUUUAUGAAGGACUAAUGACCAACUUUGUGAUAGAAUUAUUGACAAUCAUGAACUUAAGAUAUGGUCAAGACAAAAAAUUAUAUUAAAUAUUAUUUAAAAAUAAGCAAUGAAACGGUGCGUUUACAUAGUGCUUGAGUAAAAACACUCCAGCAUUUUCCAAGUCUAAUAAAUUAAUAGUAUAAUAUGGAAAUAUAAAACAUAAAUAAUAGGUCUGGAUAUAUGCUAGUUCAAGUGUAAAUUAAUAGUAUAUCCAGACCUAUUAUUUAUGUUUUAUAUUUCCAUAUUUUACUAUUAAUUUAUAUUAUUUCCAUAUUAUGCAAACUCAUAAACUCAAACCCUCACUUGAUCACUCAAAUUUCCAUGACGUCACUGCGUAUAUUACAAAGCAAAGAGAGUAACACUACUCCUCUUUCUCUUGUUGUCUACAUGCACGUUGGCAUUGAGAUUACUUAGUACGCCUGCUACUUAGGCUCAAACACAUGCUUGUGUGGUAUUCACAAUACUGGCUUUUCCUUUGCCCGUGAGCAUCAGAGAUUCGAGUGAACAAGUUCACAAUUCACCUAAUUUGCCGGAUUUGAACCUGGUCAGAAUUAUGGGUAAUAUGAAAACGCUAAGAUUGUGUGCAGAAGAAUCACCGCAAAGUCUCCCUCCCUUUGUCCUCAUAUAUACCUUUCUAAGAUCUCUAUAUAACUAUACAAAUUUUGGACGUGUGGAAUUAGCAAAAGGAUCAGGUAAUAGAAGUUAUCAUGUAAAUGUAAAUAUGUGAAUGAAUUUGAGUGGUCAAUGUCGGUGUCAUAAUUCAUUAGGAAUCAACCUUUGGAGCCAACGGAGUUAUUCUCAGAUAUUUCAGUGUGGAUGGUACAAAUUGAAAUAGGUGUGGCCCAGUUAUUGAGAUUAUAGUCUGGUGCCGCUUGUGCAACAUAGUAAGAUCAUUUGGUUUUCAUCCCUGAAGAAAUUUUGGAAAUGAAAGGCUUGAUCCAUUCAAAGGUAUAACUUAAAGCUUGAAUUUGCAUAUGGCCAAUCACCUACGCGGGUACAUCAUCAUUUUCUGCUCCCCGCGCAUAUCGCCCAAAGUUGCAUCCAUUUUCACUGUGAACAGCUUUAACAAAGCAAGCAUGACACUGAACACAUGAUGCAAUUCUUAGCAUGCAAGAGGGCUGGUGGUUAUUAGAAUCAAUAAAGCUGUUUGGCAAAAGAGAAAGUGAAAGAAAACUUUAACUAAGAAAAUUCUUAUUGAUUAAAAUAUGGAAUUAUUCAUUAUGAUUGUGUUAACAACUAUUUAUAGUUACACUAAAAACUGAUUACAAAAGCAGAGCUCAAAGCUGCAACGUUAACGAACUAAUCAGCCUUCCAAUCAUAAUGUGCCAGCUGGAUAAAUCGUUACAACUUAAUCAAAACCAAAUAACCACCCAAUCCAGCUCAACAGCUCAUCAUGUCAUCAGCCAGCUCAGCAGCUUUAGCUUAUACACUUAACAUCCCCCCUCAAGCUCAACCUGGUGUAGUCAGGGUGAGCUUGUCUUUCAGAUAAUGAAAAGGGUGAUAAGCUAAAGCUUUUGUAAGGAUAUCAGCUGAGUUAUGGGAACUGGGAACAUAACUAACUUGGAAGCUCUUAUUAGCAAUCUUUUCUCACAAGAAAUGAACAUCAAGUUCUAUGUGUUUAGUUCGGGAGUGGAAUUUGGGAUUGCUUGCUAAGGCAGCAGCACUUUGGUUAUCACACCAAAUGACAAGAGUAGAGACAAGAGAAAUACCAAUUUCAGUCAGCAAGGACUUAAGCCACAAAACUUCAGAUGUAGCCUUUGCUAGAGCUCGAUACUCUGACUUAGUGCUAGACCUGGACACCACUCCUUGUUUCUUUGAACACCAAGAAAUCAGAUUAGGACCAAAGUAAACAUAAUAUCCAGCAAUUGAUUUUCGAUCAUCUCUAUCAGCUGCCCAGUCUACAUCACUGAAACAAUCUAUGUGUAAGGGACCUUGAUUAGAAUACUUUAAUCCCAUAUGCAAUGUACCCUUUAGAUAUCUAAGAAUCCUUUUGCAUGCUUGUCAGUGAUUAUUUAUUGGUGUAGCUAGAAAUUGGCUGAGUUUGUUGACUGGAAAUGCUAUCUCAGGUCUGGUCAAGGUAGCAUACUGAAGAGCUCCAAUUGUGCUUCUAUACAAAGUUGCAUCAGCAAAGAAUUCAUUGUCAGUUUUGGUAAGUGGAACAUUGGCAGCCAUUGGAGUAGAGCAAGGAGUACAAUCUUGCAUCUUAACUUUGUUGAGAAGAUCAGCUAUAUACUUUGUCUGAGAGAGAUGUAACCCUGUGUCAGUUUUGGUAACUUGAAUACCAAGAAAAUAAUGCAAUUCUCCAAGGUCUUUUAGAGCAAAUGUAGUCUGCAGAUUAGUAAUGACUUGUUGAACCUGUUACAAUAAUGUCAUCCACAUAGACUAAUACCAGCAAGAGAUGACCUUGAAUCCUCUGAAAAAAUAGAGAAUUAUCAGACUUGGAAUUCUUGAAGCCCCAUUGAUUAGUUAAGACUGUUUUUAAUCUAUCAAACCAAGCUCUAGGGGCUUGUUUGAGACCAUAUAAUGUCUUUUGAAGUUUACAGAUGUGUGUAGGUUUAGAUUGAUCCACAAAGCCUUGAGGUUGCUGCAUAUACACUUCUUCAGUAAGAUAGCCAUUGAGACAAGCAUUGUUUAUGUCAACUUGUCUCAUUGACCAGUGAUUAAGAACAGCCAAACUCAAAAUAAGUUUAACUGUAGAAGCCUUCACCACUGGACUAAAUGUUUCAUUAUAAUCAAUGCCUUGAGUUUGAUGGAAACCCUUUGCUACAAGUCUGGCUUUGUACCUUGAAACACUACCAUCUGCAUUAUGUUUAAUUCGAAAUACCCACUUGUUUCCUACAACUUUGACAUGAGAUGUAGGCUGAACAAGUGUCUAAGUCUGAUUUUUAACUAAGGCUUGAUAUUCUUCUUGCAUUGCUUGAAGCCACUUUGGAUCACUUAGAGCAGCUGAAACUAUAAGUGGUUCUGUUGGCUUAGGAUUACAUUCAACUAGAUAGGCCUUUUUUGGUUUGAAGAUUCCCAUUUUGGAUCGAGUAGUCAUGGAAUGUCCAAUUAUGGGUUGUGAAGGUGAAGAUAGAUGAUGAAGAGGUUGAGAAGAUGAUUGCUGAUUUAUAGGACUAGGAGUAUGAGACAACAAUUGAUUUUCUGAACUGGACAGGUUUGAGGUGGAAGGUAAAGCAAUUGCUGAAGGUGCAGAUUGAGAGAAAGAUCUAUCAAGUUGUGCAGCAGUCUGUGAUAAUGUGAAUGAGACAAGAGGAUUGGAAGAAGUAGACUCAUGUAAAGAAUCAGAACAUGACUUUGUAGAAAAUUUUUCAACUGACUGGAAUGGAAAAGAGGACUCAUCAAAGGUAACAUGAUUACUUAUAUAGACCCUUCCAGAAGGAUGAAGACACUGAUAACCUUUGUGAAGUGAGUUAUAGCCAAGGAAGACACACCUUUCACUUCUGAACUGGAGCUUAUGAUGAUUAUAAGGUCUGAGAUAAGGGUAAUAGGAACAACCAAAAACUUUCAUCAAUGUAUAAUCUGGUGGUUUGUGAAAUAGUUUCUCAAAUGGUGAUUUAUUGUUGAGAAUAGGUGUAGGAAGUCUGUUAAUGAGAUAUGUGGCUGUAUGAAAUGCAUUCCACCAGAAUUUGAGUGGCAAGUGAGCUUCGACAAGAAGUGUGAGGCCUGUUUCAACAAUAUGUCUAUGUUUUCUCUUUAUUUUCCCAUUUUGGUGAUGUAUAUAAGGGCAUGGAUGUCUAAAUUAUAUGCCUUGUUCAGAGAGAUAUGACACAAAAGGCCUGAAUUCCCCACCCCAAUCAGAUUGUAAGCAUUUGAUUAUCAAAUUCAGACAAUUUUCAAUCAUGUUUUUGAAGUCAACAAAGGCUGACAGAGUUUUAGAUUUUGCAGUAAGAGGAAAUAUCCAAGUGUAUCGGGUGUAGUCAUCUAGGAUAGAUAGAUAGUAGGAGUAUCCUUGGGAAGAGGUAAUGGGAGCUGGUCCCCAAAGAUCAACAUGUAACAAUUCAAGGGGCUGAGUGGUUGAGGUUUCUAUUGAAGGAAAAUGCUGCAUAUUGGAAACAUGUAACCCUUGCCUAGUUGACAAGCAUCACAAAACUGUGAUUUUGAGUAUUUGGAAUGAACAGAAGUUGAAUCCAGGCAUUUCAUAAUUUGUUUUAAAGCAUGAAUUGUGGGAUGACCCAUUCUUUUGUGCAGUAAACUAUAAUCAACAGUCUUAUUACAUGAAGCAACAUGAGCCAUAGAGGCAUUCUUAUUGAAUUGAGGACUAUUUACAGCCAUAAGAGGAGAAGUCUCAAUAUCAAAGGAAUUCAAUUGAGUAAACAUAGACACUAAAACUGCUGACAAUGGACUUAUUGGAUUAAAAACAGACUCAGAUGAGGUCGACACUGGAAUAACAGGACUUGAGUUAUCACAUACUGCAUUUAAACUUGAAACUUGAUAAAGACCUCCUUUAGCAAUCCCCUUGAGCAAUGUGAUCCUUCAGUUCUUAUCCUUAACGAAACAGACAUGGUUGUAAAAUUCAAUGAAAACAUUGUUAUCAGCAAGUAAUUUGGAAACACUGAUAAGGUUUUUAGUAAUUGUAGGUACAUGUAAAACAUGAUUCAGGUAAAUAGGUUUUGUAGGCAAGGUUUUAAUAGCAUCAGAUCCAACAUUAUGAAUAGGCAAUCCCAUACCAUUUCCUACAUGCAGUUUUUCACAGGCAUGGUAAGUUGAGUAUUUAGAUAGUAUACCUGCAUCUUGAGCAAUGUGAUUAGUUGCUCCAGAGUCAAGGUACCAGGCUGGAUCAACUACACUGCUAUAGUUUGCCAAUUGUGCAGAGGGAGGUACAUUAUGAGGAAUACCAAUAUUUCCAGCAUACAUGUUUGCUGUUUGAGCCCCAUUAUAUGCACCAUUUGCACUUUGAAAAUCAAAAACACCUUGAGGAUUCAUGAUACCUGGAUUAUGAUAAGCAACAUAACCAAAGAAAGGUCUAGUUUGUCUAGGAAAAUUAGGCCUGAAUCCAGAUCCAAAACCAGAACCAUUGUACCCAGAACCUCUGCCAAAAUAAUUUUGAUUAUUUUCAGGAAAUCCUCUAUAAUUCUGACCUCCACCUCUUGGCCUAAAUGCAUCAAAACCUAUGUUUCUCGGAAUAAAACCCUGAUUGAACCUGUGUUUACACUUAUAAGUGACAUGGCAUGGAAUGAAAUAGAUUUGACACACAUCUUUUCCAGGACCAGUACUACUGUUCUGAAUAUUAUCAUAAGCACUAAAAGUACCAGCACCUACAUUUUUCUGAUUAUAUCCAGAUCUAUUAUAACCUUGGCCCUUCUGAGCAAAAUUUGUUGUCAUAUCAUGCAGAGAUUCAUUAUGAGAUUUUCCUUUGCUCAUUUCUAACCUAGUUUCAUGACUAAGCAUCAUAGAAUACACCUCCUCAACAGUGAGUUUCUCUUUUUCCAGUCUAGUAAGUAUAUUUGUAACUAAAGACUCAUAGUUAUCAUCUAAUCCAGUAAGCAAGUGCAUAAUCAAUUCAUUUAAAGUAACUGAAUUACCUCUGAUGGCCAAACUAUCAGCAAUUUUCUUCAUUUUAUUAAAAUAAUCACUUACUGAGAGUGAUCUUUUCUUUGUUGAUUGAAGUUGCAUCUUCAAAGGCAGAUACCUCGCUUUAGAUUGUGACAUGAAGAUUUCGGUAAGUAUCUCCCAAAGCUCAAGUGAUGUUUCACAGUUGAUCACCAUGAUUAACACGUUAUCCACCAUUGACGACAGCAUCCAGCUCUGCAGAAGCUUAUCGGUUUUCAUCCAUAAAGCAUAAUCUGGAUUUUUUUGUUUCUGUGAAGCUUCAGCUCCAGAUCUUCCAAGUUCUUGAGUUGAUUCAGUGAGAUAACGUUCUGGACACACAUUCUCACCAUUAAUAAAGCUUUCAAGUCCAUUAGCAAUGAUUGAUAUUCUAACUUGAGCCUUCCACACUAGAUAGUUUGAUAUGUUGAGCUUUACAGGUUGAACAAAGUGAAAUAAGAGUGAGGAGGAAGCUAUAUGAUUGGAUCCAGACAUAAGUGUUUGCUCUGAUACCAUAUUAGAAUCAAUAAAGGUGUUUGGCAAAAGAGAAAGUGAAAGAAAACUUUAACUGAGAAAACUCUUAUUGAUUAAAAUCUGGAAUUAUUCAUUAUGAUUGUGUUAACCACUAUUUAUAGUUACACUGAAAACUGAUUACAAAAGCAAAGCUCAAAGCUGCAACGUUAACGAACUAAUCAGCCUUCCAAUCAUAACAUGCCAGCUGGAUAAAUCGUUACAACUUAAUCAAAACAAAAAAACCACCCAAUCCAGCUCAGCACGUCAUCAGCCAGCUCAGCAGCUUCAGCUUAUACACUUAACAGUGGUGCUGUUAACAUACAAGAGUUCCUUUAAACACUUCACUAGCUAAACCCCAACCCCCCCCCCCCCCCUCCCGCCUCCGCGCCCCGGGGAGCCCAAAAAUGCUUGAGGGAAAUCCUACCAGGCCUUAACAUGGUUUCACCACUGUCAAAACCUGAAAUUUUGCAUAUGAUUGGAGUUUUUUUUUUUUUCCUUUUUCAUAGAUAAUUUUUUUGAAUUCUUUGCUGCAUAAAUCCAAUUCAGUUUCUUUUAUUUCACCGGUGUAAUAUAAUAAAACAUAAGGCAAAAUAAAAUGUGUAUUCAGACUAGUUAACCAUGUACAAUCUUGCAAUAGCCAAUAGUUCAUGCAGUGUAGAAGGAGAACAAAUGUUUGUAUUGGAUAAUCAAGAGCUGCUGCUGGACCUACCGUAAGUAAUAAUUUCUUGUAGUUUUAUCAUUGCCAGGACUUCAAAAUCUAAACUUCAAAACCUUAAACACGCUUUGCUUUUAUCUUCAACGGAGUGAAUGAACUGGAAUUGAUGGGCAAGUCAACGAGGUGUCACAUUUGAAAGAGUAACCUCAUUAACAGAGCAAACUUCGGCACCCGAUGAGAAUUGACCUGGCCUUGCAACAUUUCGGCCUACAGAAAAUGCAGGUUCGGUUGGUUGAGGAAGUGUUACAGUAUCGCUUGCUAACAUAACAACCACAGAAGACAUGGUAGGUCUGUCUGCUGAGUCUGCUUGAACACAUAAUAAUCCAAUAUGGAUAAAUUUCAAAAGUUCAGCAGCAACGCAUGACUGCUUGAGUACUGGUUCCAUCAGCUCCAAUGCUUCUCCUUCACACCAUAGUUUCCAUGUCUAUAAUAUUGUUAUACAGGUCAUAAACAAAGGUGAGACUCAAAAUCAUUGGAUAUUAUUCUUCAGAAAGAAAGAUAGAAAGUCACUUACAUAAGAAAGGAGGCUUUGACCAAGUUCAGAUAGAUAAAACCCAGUGUUCUUUUUCCCACUGAUGAUUUCUAGCAGUAGAACGCCAAAACUGAAAACAUCUGAUUUUACGGAAAAUAAUCCUUCCAUAGCAUACUCUGGGGCCAUGUAUCCACUGUUUGAAAACAGAACAACAUAAGAUCAAAUGCCAUAGAAAAGCUAAUGACCUAUGUGACCUCCGUAUUUUGAAUCUGGUGACAUGAUCAUGAGGUCACAUAUUCAAACCAAAUGCAAUAGAAUACUGUUAGCAAAUUAAUUAUUGGAAACAGAGAAAACAGAGAGAGGUGGGAAUGGAAUGCACUUACUAUGUUCCAACAAUUCUAUUGGUAUUAGCUUCACUUUGGUUUCCACCAAAUAUCCUAGCCAUCCCAAAGUCUGAUAUCUUCGGGUUCAUCUCAUGAUUGAGUAAAACAUUACUAGCUUUGAGAUCACGAUGAAUAAUUUUGAGUCGAGAGUCCUCAUGUAAAUACAAAAGACCCCGAGCAAUUCCAUUAAUGAUGCUUAUGCGUCGUUUCCAGUCCAGUUGUACACUCCUCGUUGAAUCUGAUAAUGAAUUAGACACAGCAUUUAACCUGAUUAGCUACUUUGUCAUCUACUCUUCUAUGGAAAGGAAGCGGGGAAAAUAAUAGGAAAUGGAAAGACUUGGCUACAAUUGCCAUAGUGCCUAGUAGGGGGCAUAUAAUGUGCAAACCAUAUAACAGGGCCACUUCAAUUAUACAAGCUGGAAUUACACAAAACAACCACAGGUUCUAUUUGCACAACUUAACAACUAGCAAUUAAGGAAAUAGAAAGUCUGAGAAACAAACCAAAGAGGAAGACAUCAAGGCUUUUAUUGGGCAUGUACUCAUAUAUAAGCAGUGAUUCAUUUUCCUCUAAGCAGCAGCCGAACAGCCUCACAAGAUUUUUAUGUUGCAAUUUGGCGAUUAGAGUAACUUCAUUCUUGAACUCUUGUAGGCCUUGCCCAGAUGUUCUUGAGAGCCUCUUCACUGCUAUUUCCUUGCCAUCUGCUAAUUUACCCUGCAAGCAACUUUCCAUUAUUGUUACCGUGAAAGUUUUGUAUGCGUACGGAAAACGCAAGUUUCCGCUGACAUGAACUCAUUUCCAAAUACUGCAUUCGGUGAAUACUUAUGUAUAUUUAAACAAGCGUACAGUAAAAGUGGAUUGGUAUGAUUAAUAGUUGCUUUUUUAAGCAACUGUACUAAAGUGUUUAGUAAAUUAUUACUUAGAAACUAAGUUAAUUUAUACUAAAAUGUUUAGUAAAUUAUUGCUUAGAAACUAAGUUAAUUUAAUCUCACAUUUGUAUGAUGAAAAAAUUAUAUUUUUUUUUAUAAUUUUUAUCAAAAUUAUCAUUUAAAAAUCAUAUGUACUUGUCAAAAAUUUUAUUUUAUAAUUAUAAUUUUUUUUCUUUUUACAGUAAUUAUAACUUAAAUAAUAUAAUACCUUGAUAUGAAAUACGACCUUAAGCAUCCCUUUAUAAUUACCUUGUAAACAGCCCCAAAUCCGCCUUCUCCAAGCUUAUUUUCAUCAGAGAAAUGCUGCGUAGCUUCAACUGCGAGAUGUAACGGAAACAAAGGGAACUCUUGAGAUUCUUCCUGCUUCUGUCCUCGUAAAGCAUCAUACGUAUAGUCGUUGCCAAGUCUACCGUCUGCUAGAUGAAGCAGCCCUGUCUCUUGACUAUUUGCUUUCUCCUCUGCAAAACAACGGAUUAAUUAACUUCGUAAACUAUGAAUUAGAACAAGGGAGUGGUCGAGUUACCUUUGACCCUUUCCUUUCUUCUCUUUAUACACCGAAGUAAAAAACUAAAUAGCACAAGUACUAUAAUUGAUGAUACAGUGGCGCCGAUUGCAAUCCAUGUUCUGCUUUCCCUCGUUUUCUUCUUUCCCGAAUCUAACAUAUAGCCAAGUUAAAGAAUCUCUGAGGAAAACUCUUUCUACAUCUUAUGUUAUGUUUAAUUUAUAUAAAAUUAAGGAACCUGAGAUUUACGAACUCACCGUCGGAGCUACCAUUCGUCUUAUUAGGUGGAUAGAUGGGAGCCGUAGGGUCCUCAAAGAAAGGGUACAUCUCGUAUCUUAUGACACAACUUAGCGAAAGGGCUCUAACACCUCGCCUUCCGUAGCAGCAGGAUGAAAGUCGAGAAACAGUAGCGCGCAGGCAAAUAUUGCAGUCAGAUCUAGACAGAUAUGGUAUCACUGCACUAGAGUCCAAAUUCUGUCAAUGCUAGAGGCGUUAACUAUUUGGGCUGCAGCUGCAUAUUUUGAGUUAGAAUCCCUUGAGGUUGCAUUUUGAAUUAGAUCACUGAAGGACUGAGCCAAAAUAUUAGAGAACUUAUAAGGGUCAGUAACGUUCAUUAUAUUCCGUAGGUAUACAGUUUCCGAUGUAUUUAGCGAAAAGGGAAAAGAAUUGUUAGAGAAGCGCACCAUACACUGAUCAUACCAUACAAUAGCCACCUUGGCGCCAGUACAAUUUUUCGCAAUGGUAUCGAAUGCAACUUGUAUGCAGUCUUGGCAUGCCUCAUAAGAAACGUCGAAUUUACAAUUGUAAAUACCAUAAACUUUGUCUGGGUAAUCCCCUUCAGUUGUCUCGUUGUAGAGAGAACGGCCACCUUCAUUGUAGAGCUUUUCCUUGAGUGUCGCAAGGUUAUACAUGAAUAUGUCGCCCGAAGCAGUAUUGUUUUCUCGUGGGCAGGCAUGGUAGAGAUAAUUAUUGGAGUCAAGUUUAGCCGCCUCUGACGAACUUUGUAACAGAACUAAAGAUAGAAAUGAAAAAAGGUGAAGCAGGUUAACUGUGCUUCUAGUUCUCGGGCCAAAUAAUACGAGCAGAAUCGGCAUCUUCCCCUUGCUCUUCAAUUCUGAAAAUUUUGAGUUCCAAUGUCAAGAGGCUGAAUUAAGGCACAAGCAUCCAACUAGAAGUAAACAGGAUUAAUGAUGAAUACAAGACGAGUUAACAUAUUAGAAAAGUCGUGGGUCACAUUUAAUUGAGAUGGUAAAAUUUCUUAUGUUGAAAAAUAAGAAAUUUUAUUUCUUAUGUUGAAAAAUAAGAAAUUUUAGGUUCGAAUCCCAUUCACAUAACUUGUAUAGUUGUAUUGGGAUUGGAUUUUCAUUAAGCUAAAUAACCAAAGACCAAUGAAAUUGAAAAGUCAAACAAAAGACCAUUGGUGAAGUCUAAGAAACCAAGGAAGUCUGUACAACGCGGAUCAUUGAUAGUUUCCUGGCAUCCUCGUAUUGGAGAUUAAGAACAGGAGGUGUUUUUUUUUUUAAAAAAAAAACUUAAAUAGACCUAAUUAAUAAAGUUAAAUGUCUGAAUUUGAAUGAUAUAUUUAUCUUUUUUGUGUCUAAAUUCAUAUAAAUAAAUAUUAUUUUUUUUAACUUAAAAAAUCUGAAAACUAAUAUUUUAAUAUUUGUACCUUUACAAAUUAUAAAUGUUAAACAAAUAAUAAAUGUCUCAAAGAAUAUAAAUAAGAUAAUAUAAUAUCAUAAUUUAAAUAAUUUUUAAUUAAAUACAAUCUUUUUAUAUUCUGAAUUCGUAUAUAUUAAUUAAUAUUAUUACAGUUAUGAUGUUUUUAUAUAAAAAAUAUUCAUAAAAAAUUAUAAAGUUAAAUAAUGAAACGACCAUAAAAAAGUCGUGCAUGUCUGUGGAGGCCCUACUUAAUUAAUUUUCAAAGACGCGGCCAGCCCAAACAGCACGGAAUUAGACUUAAGAAAGUCAUCUCUUUAGCAGGAAUUAUUAUUCGCCGGCGAACUUUCAUCAAAUGACCAGAUUCAAAACAAGAAAAAGAAACUCAAUCAAAUGAAAUUCUUAAAGUAAUAAUUAUACAACACAUUUUUCAGUGUUAAAAAUAAUUAUUAAUUAUCAAAUUACCAAAGCCUAUUACUUAUCCACGGAUUAAGAUGAUUACUUUGAAAAGUUUUGUUAUAUAUAUUUCACUGAUGAAUCUGACGGUGGAUGACAGUUUGAUUGGUACUUUCCUUUAGAGGGAGUGAGUUAGGAUGCACUUUUGCUUAGGACAAGUUGAAAGAAUCAUACAUAAACUUUGAAGCAUAAAUUAAACUAACUCCUGCUUAGGAGAAGUUAAGAUCGUGAAAGAAUUAUAUUAAGCUUUUAGACAUAAAUUAAACUAACUAUGAUCGAAUUCACCACAAAUGUAUAACAUAAUUUGUUGUGUAUAUAACUGUAUAACAUAGAUUAAAAAAAUUAACUUUUUUGUGUCUUUAGAACUAAUAGGUAUAUACCAUAAGAUAUUUCUUGAUAUCUCACACUAAGUAUUAUGAACUCAUAGUAGCUAAAGGUCGACAAUAAUAGAAGUCAAGGUCGACAAUAAUACAAGUCAAGUUUUCAUCUUAAUUUUUAAAAGAUUAAUAAAAUUUUACAUUACAGAAAACAAAUUGUUAUACUUUAUGUUAAUAUCAAUAAUUUACCUAUUGCAUAAAGUAUGAUAAUUUGAUAUUGCAUAAAUCUGUAAAGUAUAAUAAUUCACACAUGCAGUCACAUAUGUAACCCAUAUAUCAACAUUUUUCAAAAAAAUAAAAAAUAAAAAUCUAUAGAUCACCAUUCAAAAAAUAAAGAAGGAAAAAAUGAAUUUAAGAAAAUGAUUACGGUUUAAGUAAGUUAGGAGAGAAAAAUGGGAUUAAAAGAUAAAAAAUUAAAUGAGAUCUGUAUGAACCAAAGAUGUAAAGUUAUUUUUAUUUUAAAGGAGUAUUAAAGAAAAUGUUUUUUUUAGAAGGUUUAAAAGAAGGAAAGAGUUUAUAACAAUAGUUUAUUGAAAAAAUUAUAUGAUAAUAAUUUUACCAAUUAUAAAAUUUAUCUCCAAUAAAUAAGUGUUGGUGCCGAAGAACGAUCUCAACAACUGAAUUUGUUUCUUUUGGGGAAUUACAGCACGAAUCCAAGCUCAAACGCAAGUCUGUUCGUAACUUUCUAUACCUGCUAACCAGAAAACACGGUUAGGAUACGCCGGUGGGGUUCCGGCGUAGACCCUCCAAUGCUUAAGUCAGAAAUUAUGUAUAAAAGGAGAAAAAUGAGAAUGACGAAUAAUGAAUGAGUUAAAGUCGAGUAAUUUUCCGGUAGAGUGGCUGAAAAUCUUGUAUAAGCUUUGGUUCAUUUUGUUAACCCCUUCACCUGAUGCGCUCUUCAGUUUAAAUAGGCUCUUGGUCGUGCGCGGUUACCUCUUUAACUUUAACUAGAUGAAACAAUCGUGUCUCUUGACUAUUUGCUUUCUGCUCUGCAUAACAACGGAUUAAUUAACUUCAUAAACUAUGAAUAAGAACAAGGGAGUUGUUAAGUGAAUAAAAACACCAGCUCGGCCAUGUCAUCAACCCCACACCGAAGUAGUCGAGUGGUACGAGCAGAACACUGGUAAUAAGCCUUCUACAAACAUGGGACGACCAGAAACAAGUACCAACCAUAAAAGUAUACCGACCAGAGACAUAUACCGAGCCGAUACCCAUCCCCCAGAGAGUGGGCACACGAUCCAGAACUAUUGAGGGGGAGGCGAGAUCCCACGUUUGCCCAAAGUAAAACAGUUAGAGUCCCACUAGGGGCUACCGUUACCUGAAAAACAAGGGGAAGAAAGCAGUUAGAGUCACACUAGGGGUUGCCACUACCCGAGAAAAGGGGAAGGAAUGGAGAAGGAAAACGGGGGGAGAGCGGCUAUAAAAGGGGAAGAAGUCGAUGAAGGAGGGGACAGAAAAACCAAAGAGAGGGAGAAUACUGCCAAAUCGCAACCAAUGCCAUUUUCUUACAAACUCCGAAUAGAUUAAAAGUCGUUCUUGAAUCCAAAUUGAACCGUUUUCUCGUGAAACAUCUUGUGCUAACUUAGGCAUCGGAGGGUUUACGCCGGCAAAACCACCGGCGUCUCUGAUCCAUUUUUGGUGAAUGCAGGUCUAAUAAGAGAAAGGAGGGCGAUUCCAACCCCAGUAGUUCAAGCAGCAGCUGAUAACAUAAACGUUGGUGAAAGAAUUUGGUCGGUCCAAGAGCGAGCAGAUUUUAGCAUCAACAUUUUGGCGACGUCUGUGGGGAGCUGAAUAAAAAGCUACCACCGAAUUAGUAGUUACCAGAGAAGCAGCGAACGGUUAGAUAUGGAUGUAUCAAAGAAGAAUGUUUUGAGGAAGGACAAUGAAACGGUGGAGACAAUCACUCUCCGGGAAAUUACAAACGAAGCCCGAGAGAGGGUGAUGCAAGAUCGGCUGGAGCGAAUGGAGAAACAAAUGGAGACUCUCGCGGCCCUACUAGGAGAGCUGAGGGAUGAACGUAGAAGGGAUUGUGAAACCCCCGUGGGAAGAGAUGAAGUUGGAGCAGGACCCAGCCUCCGGAGGCGUAAGGUUGAGGAAAUCCCUCCGCCAGCAGACCAACCUAAUGGGGUUCAUCCCCACAGAAGUACUGGUCCGGUUCCAGCAGAACAGAUGGAUGAAGGGAGGGACCAACCUCACCCCGGACGGGUAUUUGAAAUUGAUGGCCGAGCAGCCAAUGCUGAUGAAGGAGAAUUAAGACAGCGGUUGCAUAACGCCAAGCAGGAACGAGAUCAGAUAGCUGCGCGUGAUCCUGAUCGAGCUGUAGAAUUGGAGGGAGAGGUGCGCAGAUUGGCACAGAUGAUGGAGGAGAUGCAGGGCAAGAGAAAGCCCCCGAGCUGGAGAAUAAUGUUAGAUGAAGAGUCUCCGUUAUCAAUCGAGAUCAUGGGUACCGUAAUCCCAAAAGACUUCCGCUUCUCCGACCUCAAAUACUCUGGGCGAAGUGACCCGCUGGUGCACAUCGAGCGUUUCAACGACAUGACGGGUGUGCAGGGGCUAACACCAGCUCAAAGGUGCAGGGUGUUCCCAUUGACCCUAGAAGGACGAGCCCGAGAGUGGAACUGAUGGGGAUGAAACAAGAGAAACAUGAAUCCCUUCGAGAUUUUGUAAAACGAUAUCACCGAGCCGUAUUGGAUCUGGGAGCUCGUAAUCACCCGCAGGCGUUGAGGGGAUUAAAAGAAGGUGUAAGAAUCGGCCGAUUGUGGUAUAACUUAAGAAGCCCCCUAGUACAGAAUUACUCAGCGGGGUAUGAGCAGGCGAGGCGAGAUAUAGAAAUCGAAGAGGAGAAAGCGGCAAGAAUAAAAAGUGAACAGCUGGAAGAGCUGAGGCGAAAGGAACGAAGAGCCCCGAACGGGAGCGGGUCGGGAAAGCGAGCUGGGGAAUCUUCAGUAAUGGGCGGAGUAUCAGCUCGGUCCCGCACUUACCCCAUAACUCCGAGAUCACAACAGCUCCAACACAGCCGGGCUCAACCUCCGCGCCCCCCGUUCCCAGAGCGACAGCGAGAAUUAAGGCAGAUGGCUGCCCACCCUUAUCAAAACACUCCUAGAGCGUUAAAUGCAACUAAUUCCAGGUCGAGACAACCAGAGCAGCUACCGGCUAUACCAGCCCGAGGUGACAUUCAUGAUAGCCGAGCAGUCCAAUUGGUUGACCAGAGUAUGACAUAUAGACAGUACACUCCAUUAAAAAUCUCCAUGGAAGAACUGUAUGAAAGGAUCGAGGGACGAGGCCUGCUGUACCCUCCAGCCCCUAUAAUAAAACCUGCUCACCGACGGGAUAAGAACAGAUUCUGUAAAUUCCACGACACUCACGGUCACACUAUCAGCCAAUGUCGUGACCUAAAGAUUCAGGUGGAGGAUUUAGUGAGGAACCGGUACUUGGAUAAGUAUGUAGAUGGAAUGUCCCCCGUCAUGGAAUCGCAAUACGCACAGGAUGAAGGAGUUGAGAGAGGUCUGGAACGAGAACAGCCGACCAUCCGUGUGAUUGCAGGAGGGCUAACGUUGGCCGAGGAUUCAAAUAGAGCACGAAAGAACUAUGGAAGAUACGCCAUGACUAGCAAAGAGGUGCUCCUCAAUUUGCCAGCAGCCAAGAGGGCAAAAGUACGGCAAGUUCCCAUUAUGUGGACAGAGGACGACGAAGAGGGCAUUUCAUAUCCUUAUGAGGAUGCACUGGUGAUUAGGGCAUUGGUGGCUAGCACAGAAUUGCGACGAAUACUGGUGGACACGGGCAGCUCAGUAGACAUUCUGUUUAAAUCGGCCCUAGAUAAUAUUGGGAUUUCAGACUUGAAGCUGGAGCGGACGAAUACAUCCUUGAAGGGAUUUGGAGGAGGACGGUUAACUCCCAUGGGAAUCAUCGAACUCCCGAUUACUGUGGGGUCAAAACCGUUUGAAAGAACGAUGAUGCUGAAUUUUGUCGUGGUAGAAGAAAGAAGUCCUUACCAAAUGAUACUGGGGAGACCCUUCAUAAGGAUAAGCCAAUGUGUAAUGUCCACGCACUAUCUGGCAUUGAAGUACAGAAUAAAUGGAGUUAUUGGCGUAGUAAAAGGAGACCAGAGAAUGGCAAGGAGCUGCUAUGCUACAGCAGCCAAGGAAACACUGCAGGUUACCUCUCUAGAUAACCGAGGGGAUUCAAAAAAUGGUCGCCAAGAACCUGUUGAGAAGCUGGAGGGAGUUAUUGUAAGCAGGAAUGACCCAAGUAGAGUGGUUAAAAUCGGGUCGGAAUUGGGCGAAGCAAUAAAGGGCGAGCUGGUGAAGUGCCUACAAUCCCAUGCAGACAUAUUUGCCUGGUCUCAUGAGGAUAUGCCAGGAAUCGAUAGAAGGGUAGCCUGCCACAAGUUGGCAAUCAAGAGAGGAGCAAGGCCGAUGAGGCAGAAAAUGAGGUGCUUCAACCAGGAAAGAUACGAGGCCAUAAAUGUCGAGGUGGAAAAGCUGCUGAAAGAAGGAUUUAUAAGGGAAGCCAAGUACCCGGAGUGGAUUUCCAAUGUAGCACUGGUAAAAAAGGCCAACGGGAAGUGGAGAAUGUGUGUAGACUUCACAGACCUCAAUAAGGCAUGCCCGAAGGACAGCUUUCCUAUACCAAAAAUAGAUCAGUUGGUGGAUUCAACCGCGGGUCAUAGUCUGCUCAGUUUCAUGGAUGCUUUUUCGGGAUACAACCAGAUACCCAUGGACGAGCAGGAUGAGGAAAGCACCACCUUUAUAACUAACAUGGGUUUGUUUUGUUACAGGGUGAUGCCUUUUGGCCUGAAAAAUGCAGGAGCUACCUAUCAAAGGCUAGUGAACAAGUUCUUCAAACCAUUGAUUGGUCACACUAUGGAAGUAUAUGUGGAUGAUAUGAUCACAAAGUCAAGGGAACCGAGAGAUCAUGUGAAGCACUUGGAAGAGACCUUCGAAUUACUGAGGAGGUAUGAAAUGAAGCUGAACCCGGAGAAAUGUGCAUUUGGGGUCAGCUCGGGCAAAUUUUUGAGAUACCUGGUGAGUCACCGAGGAAUUGAGGCCAACCCGGAAAAGAUUCGGGCGGUGAUAGAAAUGAAGUCCCCACGAACAGUUAAGGAGGUGCAGAGCCUUACGGGAAAACUGGCGGCAUUGAACCGAUUCAUUUCACGGGCCACUGAUAAAUGCCACCCUUUCUUCCAUAUCAUAAAGAAAUGGAGGAAGAUGGAAUGGACAUCAGAAUGCGAGGAGGCAUUUGGACAGCUGAAGGAAUACCUAGCCUGCGCCCCGCUACUAUCAACUCCGAGAGAGGGUGACCAACUACUUUUGUACUUGGCAAUCUCUAAGUGGGCUACCAGCUUGGUCUUAGUCAGGGAAGAAGAAGGGAAGCAACACCUGGUAUACUACACAAGCAAUGCCCUGGUAGACGCAGAAACCAGAUAUCCGCUAAUGGAGAAGUGGGCACUAGCUCUAAUAACAGCAGCACGCAAACUCCGACCAUAUUUUCAAGCCCACCAGAUCGUUGUGAUGACUGACCAGCCCCUUCGGUAAGUGCUUCAGAAACCAGAUGCAUCUGGUCGAUUAGUAAAAUGGUCCGUGGAACUGAGCGAAUUUGACCUGUCCUAUAGGCCCCGAGGAGCAAUCAAAGCCCAAGCCCUGGCUGAUUUUAUGGUUGAUCGUGUUAUACCAGGGGAAGAAAUUCCGGAGGCACAACCAUUAGAGCAGGAGAAACCAGAGGGGGUGUGGCUGGUGAUGGUUGAUGGGUCAUGUAGUGAACAGGGAUCCGGAGCAGGAGUUGUAAUACGGAGCCCAGAAGGGGUCGAGGUAUCCUAUGCAAUAAAAUUCGAGUUCUAACUUACAAAUAACCAAGCUGAAUACGAGGCCUUCAUUACUGGGCUCGGGCUUGCACACGCACUACGAGCUGAAAGGGUAGAAAUCCGAGCAGAUUCUCAGCUAGUCUGCAAUCAGCUCUGCGACCAAUUCCAAGUAAGGGAAGAAACGUUGGGGCUUUAUCUGAAAAAGGUGAAGCAAAUGGUCGAACUCUUCAAAGAGGUAGAGGUAAAGCAGAUAUCUCAGAAUGAAAAUUACCGAGCAGAUAUGUUGGCAAGAAUGGCUGCAAAUGUAGACCCAAAGUUACCUAAGUCAGUUCCAUUGGAGAUAAGGACCUCGCCGAGUAUAGGGGAGGAAGUUGAGGUAAUGAGAGUAAGCACUGAAGAAUCAUGGAUGGACCCGAUUCUCGCAUACAUCCGCGAUAGCACUCUACCGGAGGAUAAAAGGCAAGCAAAAAAAUUAAAAUGCCGAGCAACAAGGUACACGCUACUUGAUGAGGUGCUCUACCACCGAGGAUUCACCUUACCACUUUUGCGAUGUCUGGAUAAGGAGGAGGCUGAUUAUGUACUAAGGGAGAUUCAUGAAGGAAUAUGUGGAAAUCAUUCGGGAGCAAGAACUUUAGCCUUCAAGGCACUCCGGCAAGGAUACUUUUGGCCAACCAUGCACCAGGAUGCGAAAAGGAUGGCAAGGAAUUGUAAAAUCUGCCAAAGCUUCUCAGAGGUUCCUGCACAACCUCCAGAAAAGCUGACCACUAUGACAUCCCCAUGGCCUUUUGCUCAAUGGGGAAUCGACCUGAUUGGUCCGUUACCAAAAAGCCGAGCAGCGGCAACACAUGCAAUUGUAGCAAUAGACUACUUCACCAAGUGAGUAGAAGUGGGAACCCUCAGCCAAAUCACGGAAAGGAAGACGACGGAUUUUAUUUGGAAAAAUAUCAUCUGCAGAUACGGAAUCCCCUAUACCAUCAUCAUAGACAAUGGAAGGCAAUUCGACAACAAUAACUUCAGAGAAUUUUGCCGAAACCUAGGGGUAGAUCUGAAGUUCUGCACCCCCGCGCACCCCCAGGCAAAUGGACAAGUGGAAGCAACCAACAAAGUAAUAAAGAAACUCCUGAAAACAAGAUUGGGAGAGAAGAAGGGAGCUUGGGUCGACGAGCUACCAGGAGUACUGUGGGCUUACCGGACAACUCACAAAACCGCCACAGGGAAAACCCCGUUUGCUUUAGCUUUUGGCCAUGAAGCGAUAGUCCCAGCAGAAAUUGGAGUAGGAACGCAUCGAACAGAACAUUUUAAUGAGGAGCAAAAUGAUGAGCAGAUUUACUUGAACCUGGACCUGUUGGAGGAGAAAAGGGAAGGGGCCUCACAGAAAGUGGCCCAAUGUCAGCAGAGGGUCGCGCGUUAUUACAACAAGAAAGUACGCAUGAGGCAGUUCAGAGCAAGGGAUUGGGUGCUUAGGAAGGUGAAUCAAAACACUAGGGAUCCCUCUCAUGGCGUGCUUGGUCCGAAAUGGGAAGGCCUGUACAUGGUGAUACGAGCGACUGGACCAGGAGCUUACAAACUAGCAUACCCAGACGGACGAGAUGUGAAGAGGUCGUGGAACGCCGAGCACUUGAAGAAAUAUUUCCAGUAAGCAAAAUGCUUUACCAAGUCUUCAUUUGAUAAGAUUUCCAGUAGGGGUGGGCAAAAUCGGGUUCGGGUCGGGUUCGGGUCAAUCCGAUCGGGUUUCGGGUUGUUCGGGUUAGACAAGGAACAAUCCGAACAUAACCCGAAUUAAUGAUCCGACCCGAACCGACCCGAACUAUCUUAGGGCCGGUUCGGAUCGGGUCAUUAAUUCAGGUUAUGUUCGGGUUGGAUCGGGUUGGAUUUAAAAUGGGUAGGAUUGAGUUCGGGUCAAUUUGGGUUAGUUCAGGUCAAUUCGGGUCCAUUCGAGUCAAUUCGGGUCAGUUCGGGUCAGUUCGGAUCGGUUGAAAUCAGGUCAAUUCGGGUCAGUAUAUAUAUUUUUUUUUUAGAACUCGAUCGGGUAUUCGGAUCGGGUCGGGUUUGACCCGAACCGAUCACAACCCGAUCGGGUUUGUAAAUUUCAAACCGAUCGAGUUUCGAUCCCGACUCAAACCCGAAAUUUAUCGGGUCGGGUCAGGUCGGAUCGGGUAAAAUGCCCACCCCUAGUUUCCAGGCAUCUUCACAUUGGAGACUAAUAACAGGUGAUGUUUAUUUUUUUUCUUUUUUUUUUUAAAUCCUUAAAAAUAAAUAUUAAGUUGUUUGUUUUCUAACUUAGAAAUUUUGAAAACUAAUAUUUUAUAUUUGUGUCCUUAUAAAUUAUAAAUGUUAAACAAAUAAUGAAUAUAUCAAAUAAUAUAUAUAAGAUAACAUAUUAUAAUAAUUUAAAUCAUAUUCAAUUAAUAUAAUUUUUUAAUAUUUUAGAUUAACAUAUGUUAAUCAAUUUUAUAGUAGUUUAUAAUAUUUUUAUAUGAAAAAUAUUUAUAAAAAAUUAUGCAGAUAAAUAAUGAAACGACCAUAAUAGAGUCUUGCGCUGCAUGCAUGUCUGUGGAGGCCCUACUUAACUAUUUGAUGAGAAAUUUCAAUGAAAAUGAAAGGAGUACCAUAUCAAGGCUAUUCAACGCGGACCAAUCAGGCUUUUCGAAGACGCGAACCAGCCCCAACAGCCCGGAACUAGACUAAGGAAGUCGUCUGCAGUGGUCCUUUCGCUUUCUAAUGGGACCUUCCCUGAUUAAUUAUUCAUAAUUGGCAGUGUCUAAGAUUAUCCCUUCAGUCAUAACUGGCUGCUUCUAGGCAUCUUCAUUCUUCAGAUCGAAGGUUAGUCAUCGUUAUGAAAUACCAUGCAACUUUAACAUACGUUAGAUUAAUUAAACACGAAUUUCUGGAACAAGAAAAAAAAUUCGAAUAUAGCAUUCUAUUAUAAAUAAAUAAUUUCAUCAAAAUGGUGAGUUAUAGUCAUGGGUGACUGCCAUCUAGUUAAGAUUGUAAAAUUCUUUUGUGUUCGUAAAAAAAAAAAAAAAUUCGAGUUCAAAUCCUGUCAGUCUGUCACAUAGGUGGGGAGUGUAUUAAAUACUUGCAGUGCUAAAUAAUAACAUUGAUGUCACAUCUGUGGAACUGCAUGUCUGUGGAGUCCCUACUUUUUUUUUUUUUAAUAUUGAUUACGCACCAGAUUACUGCAUUGCACAUAUAUUUACAACUAUUAUUAUAGCAGACAUUACACUGAUAUUUACAAUCAGAUAUACAUAAGUACCAGAUUACUGCAUUGCACAUAUAUUUACAACUAUUGUUAUAGUAAACAUUACACUGAUAUUUAUAAUCAGAUAUACAUAACUGAGACUUAUAUAUGAUUACAUUAAAUUCUAUGAAAUACAUGCCUAGAUAAAUUACCUUCACAGACGAGGGAUGCCCCCACUUCACUUGCAUUUCGCAAGAAAGAAGAAGUUAUAAAUGUUUAGCCCCCACUUGAUUAAAUAGUUAUGUGACAGAACAAAACCAUUCAGCAAUCUAGUGCUCAAGAUUUUUAAAUUAUUCACCGGCGAAACUUAAUCAAAUGAACAGAUUCAAAACAAGACAAAGAAACCCAAUCAAAUGAAAUUCCCUUUAGCAAUGAUUAUACAAUACAUUUUUCAGUAUUAAAAUUAAUUAUUAAUUAUCAAAUUAUCAAAGCCUACUACGUAGUACGUACUUAUCCACGGAUUAAGAUGACUACUUUGAAAAGUUUCGUUAUAUGUAUUUCACUGAAGAAUCUGACGGUGGAUGACAGUUUGAUUGUUUAGAGGGAGUGGGUUAGGAGGAUGUACUCCUGCUCAGGACAAGUUCAGAUCAUGAAAGAAUCAUAUAUAAGUUUUUGGACAUAGAUUAAAUCAACUACAAUCGAAUUCAUCACAACUAAUAAUAUAAUUUGUUGUGUGUAUAGGUAUAUUCUACUAUUUUAGGCAAAUUAUUGUAUAACAUAUAUUAUUUUUAUUACUAUUAUUAUUAUUAUUAUUAUUAUUAUUAUUAUUAUUAUUAUUAUUAUUAUUAUUAUUAUUAUUAUUAUUAUUAUUAUUAUUUGUGUCUUUAGAACUAAUAGGCACAUACUAUAAGAUAUUUCUUGAUAUCUCACACUAAGUAUUAUGAACUCAUAGUGGCUAAAGGUCAUCAAAUAAUAUAAGUCAAAUUUUUAUCUUAAUUUUUAAAAGAUGAAACCAAGAUUAUUAAAAUUUUGCAUUUCAGAAAAAAAUUGUUAUACUUUAUGUAAUAUCAGUAAUUUACCUCUUGAUAAAAGUAUAAUAGUUUGAUAUUGCAUAAAUAUGUAAAGUAUAAUAAUUCACAGAGGCAGUUACAUAUGUAAUCUAUUUAUCAACAUUUUUCAAAAAAUAAAAAUAAAAAUCUAUAGAUCACCAUUUAAAAAGUAAAGAAGAAAAAAUAAAUUUAAGAGAAUGAAUAGGAGUUAAUAACUUAGGAGAGAAAAGUGAGAGAUAAUAAAAUAAAUUAAAAGAUUAAAAAUUAAAUGAGAUUUGCGUAAACAAAAGAUGUAAAGUUAUUUUUAUCUUAAGAGAAUAUUAACAAAAGGUUUAAAAUAAUAAAAGAGUUUAUAAUAAUAGUUUAUUAAAAAAAUUAUUAAAAAAAUUAUAUAAUAAUAAUUUUAUCAAUUAUAAAAUUUAUCUCUAAUAAAUAAGUGACAUAUAUAUUUGAGAGCUACAAAUUAAGAUUUAAAAAUAUUAUCUUGGGUGGAUCCCGCCCCUAAGCAUAAGUGAUGGGGAAGUUAGCUGCCAGCCGGGCCCCACGACUCAUGCAAUUCUCUAAUGCGUAAUUUUGCCGUCCGAUUAUUGUUAUACUUCAAAAUGGGCCAUGGGUUUGUUACUUACAAAAGAGAGUUGGGGUCUGAUUGGAAAUACUUGCAAGAUGUUUCAAAAAUGAUUUUGAAAAGUUAGUAGUUAAUUUAGGUGUUUGAUUUUUUUUCUUAAUUCCUUUGGAGAAAAUUAUGCCAUGUAAAUUUUAAAAAGUAAAAAAUGAGUAACUUUUUUGAAAUCUAAUUUUGACAAUCAUUUUUUAUAUUUAAUAUAAUUUCAUAUAUAUCUUCACAUAUAUUAUAAAAAUUUAAAAUUAUCCUUAUUAAUUAGAAAUAAAAUUAUUAAAUUUAAAGAGACUAUUAUUAUUGCCAAUUAUAUUGAGAUAACAAAAUAAAAAUAAAAUUAAUAAUAUAAAAUAUUUUUUUUAGCUAUCAAAUAUUAUAUAUACACAUUAAACAAAUAUUUUACAAACAUGUUUAUAAAUCUGUUAAUAAAUUUUAUUCAACAUUAUGUCCAUUUCAGUCGUUUAUAUUCUUAUAACAGUUGAACAGUAAGAUUUAUCAAAUACAUAUGACUGCUUUUAAAACCUAUAAUACUUUAAAAAUAAAUCUUACUAAACAUUUUAUUAAUUCCGUUCACAACUGAUUAUUUUGACAAUGCAAUUAACAAUAAUUAUUUUAAAAGAUACAACAUUAUUAAAGUGGUCCUUAGUUUCUCGGGCUUACUCCUAAUAUAGGAAUGAGAUUCUUUUGGGCUCUCUUUUUAUGAGAUUUAAUUUUUAUUAUGUGAUUUUGUUGUUUUUCGUUAAUCGGUUGUCAAUUAAUUGCGUUUUAGAAAUAUUUAUCUUUUUAGUUUUUAAGGAUUGCAUUGGAAAUUUUUUAAUAAAAAUGGUUGAAUAUGACCAAGUAAGUAAUAAUAAAUUAAUUAAUUAAAUUAGCAUUGUUUACAGAUAGCGUACGCAGAGUUACGGAAUCCAAGAAAUAUACUAAGUUAAUUAUUGUAUUCAAUUUUUUUACGAGGCCUUCAUCUUAGUAAUGCUAAGGCAUUUCUAAUAUCAUCAUUUUAUUGUCGCUGGAGACUUGCACUGCAUGCAAUAAAUCCUGGAAUCAAAUUUGAUGUAAAACCUUAUUAAACCCAAAAUCCAAAUUUGAUGCAAAUCCUAUUAAAUCCAAAUUCAAUAAAAUCACAUAUUAUUGUAUACCGUUCUUUUACCUCUAACCUUCACCAUCACCAUCGGCGUAUCGGAGUAUGUAGAGACUCAAAAUAUGGAUCUAAAGAUUGUACUAUACUUUUUGUUAGUGACAGUAUCGAAUCACGUCACGUGCUUCUUUGAUCAUUAAUUGGAGAAACAUUUGAAAGAAAAAAAAUAAGUUAAUUUUUCGUUUAAUUGUCUCCAACAUUUCAUUAGUAUUUAUCUAUAGAUAUAGGUGAGGUUUACUAGGUUUACUCUGGCUAUAGAUUUUAAGACGGUAUAAAAACUACGCUUGUCAAGGCAAAAAAGAAAGGUUACAGAAAGAGAUUAUGAAAAAAAAAAAAUCUUUGAAAAGGUUAUUAUAUUUGUACAAAAACUAAAAUCAUAUAAAGUUUAUGUCUCUUUUUACCUACUCACGACUAAUAAUUUUAUGCCUUCUUACAAAAUAGUUAUAACUAAACCAAAUAAAAAGAAUAUCACUGAAAUUUAUAAGUAAUAAAUAUUCCCGUAUUUAGAUACCCAUGAUUGCUGAUUUAGGAGUCGUAUAGUCAUUUUUUCAAAAUGCUACAGGAGGACAAAGUUUCUCACUACAGCUCCAUAGUGUAGUUCAUCUGUUAACUAGAAAUGCCUAUACAUAGAUAUAUAUAUAUAUAUAUAGAGAGAGAGAGAGAGAGAGAGAGAGAGAGAGAGAGAAGUUUUUUAUCAACUUGUUAACAGUUGCUCUUUGGUUGGCACGAAGCUAACAAAUGCUGUGCCUAGUUUCCAUCCGAAGGCAAUUACACUGUAGAUGAUGUUUCUCUCGCUUACAUUGUUGGUGCUGCUUGCUCUCCGAAUCUUGGACCGUGUGAUGAGAUGGAUGAUUGGAAGCCUUUUCCUGAUGGAAUUCUACCGGAAGAAAUUACUACAAGUGACGAUGAACGUGUUGUGUACAUAUGCUUUCGUGAGGCUUCUGAGGUGAGAACAAUUGAACGGUGGGAAGUUGAGCAUUGUUGCCGUAAGUCAAUUAAGGUAGGGUCAAGCAAGAAGUGUCGAGACGAUUAACGAAGAUGAUCAGCAGCCUGUUCGGAAUAUUAUUCAUGAAUUUUGGCUCAUUGACGGGACUUCUUAUAUUGGUUGUGUUUAGUUUUCACCUGCCGACAAGGUUCAGUACACAUACUUGAAUAAAUUCAGUUUAACAUUUCAACUACGACCAUGAAGUACCCGUACAGGUUGCCACCUUGAGACUCAGUGUGUAAAAUUAAGAAUGAAGGUGCUUGAUGGAAAUGAUGAAGUGUACUAUGAAAUGCCACAGUGAGGUUAUUUUGGUGGGAAGACGAUAAUUAGAAUUUAGCAGCUCAAGGUACUCUCGAAUCAGCUAAACAAACACCCUCUAGAAGAGCUCUAUAGAAUACACUAGAAUACUGAAGAUGAAGCCAUGAAAGAUUGUGAUUCAUCAAGCUUAAUAGCAAAAUGUAUCAAGAGUUCUUAUUUCUAAUUGUAUCAAUCUAGACCCAAUCCUAGCCAUUUAAAAAAUAAUAAAUGCAAUUUAGUGUAUAAGCUUAGACUAAAAAGCCUGCAAAAUCACUUGCUGGAAAAGACAAAAUGAAUUUAUCGUAUUUGUGCGUUUUUGUUCUUUGUUUCUAGUUAUUCAUUUACUGCUUUUUUUUUUAACUGGACCGUCGAUGAAAACAUUUCAUAACUUGUGAUAUUAUCAUUUUAAAAUAAUAUAUAUGAUACUCAUCCAUGAAUGAUGAGAUAGUUUAAUUCAUAAAAUGUUUCAAAAAUUGUAAAAAUUUAUUAUUCACUUAAUAAGAAUCACAUGACUUCGAAACAGUUCCUUUGGUCCUUGCAUUCAUUAGCUGCUAUGCUAGUGCUCAUCAGUUGAGAAGAUGAAUGGGAUUAAUUGCUUUGAAUUUCCCAAAGUUGAAUCUCUUUCUUCUUCCACUCUAUUUAAAGCCUUCACCCCAUCAACUUGUUAUCGAUGGACUGUUUUUAAUUUUGACCUGCACGUAAGAUACAGAACCUGAGGAUGAUAGCCAAUUAGCCAUGAAAUAAAUUACAUAAGGUCGUUUGAUAUUAAUUUCCACUAGCAUUUGAAAUUUAUUUCCGUUUUCAGUUAUCUGAUCAAUUUUGAGAAACACAUAUGCAAUGUGGUUUCUGUUUUAGUUAAAUUUUAAAUUAUUCAUGGAGUAGUACUUAAAAAGAAAGUAACUUUGAGAAGAAUGGGCAAAUAAGGUAAUUCUGUUAUCACUCUAAUUCUCAAUUUAUAAUCACAUAAUUAUAGGCUCAAUUUGUCUCCUAGCCGUUGGAGUCAAUCGUGCAGCUGUAAAUGAGAUAAUUUACUUUCCAUGCAAGGUUAUAACAUUUAAUAGAUGAUUUGUUGCCAGACUUGGUUAUAACAUUUUUCAAAAUCCAGGAGUGAUUGAUGCAAAAUUUAAUGUCAUUGAUUCUGAAAAUCCUUUAGGAUGUUUCUCUUUAUAUAAAACACAAGUGUAAAAAUUAUUCACCCUGCACUCGACACAAAGAUAGUUCAAAAAUGAGCAUGAAAUUCUUAGGUAUACAAAUUGCAGUAGCAUUUACAUUUACGUUCUCACCUUGACCAGCAAAAUUAAUGGCUUUAGAAUUGAGCUCACCCCAAGAACCUCCAUUGAUUCGGCUCUGUUUCCCAAAGACCUUUCUCCAGAAGAAAUACAUCACAGAAUUGCUCAACUCUCCAGAGCUCGCGCUAUUCAUCUUAGAUCCAAUCAAGAACCCGAAACACUAAAAGCACCUGUUCCUCCUUCUCCUUUUGUUAACACCAAUAUAUACAUAACAAAGAUAUCCAUUGGCUCAACACAGUUCUCACCUUACUUGAUAGUGGAUACCGGUAGUGAUGAUACAUGGCUUCAAUGUGAGGGUUGCACAAGUUGCUUUCCAAUCAAGGGAGGAAGCUUUCCUGUCAAGGAAUCAAAAACUUAUCGCGGCUUAGCUUGUGAGCACGCUUUGUGUCCCCAAAUUGUGUAAUAAAGGUCUAUGCUCAUACGAUUGGAAGUACAAAGAAGGCAGUGGAACUAAGGGUGUGCUUUCGUCCGAAAGUUUCACUUUUCCUGGGGAUAAAAAUACAAGCCUAACAUUUGCAAAUGUAACCUUUGGUUGUGGCUAUGACAAUCAGAACGUAUCAUUUGGUGGAUACAUGGGAAGUGACAAUAUAAUUGCGGGGGUGUUUGGUUUAGGGGCAGGGCAACGAUCAAUCCUGAGGCAAUUGGAGCCUGAGACCAACCUACAUUUCUCUUACUGUCUUCGCUUGUACCCCACAACAGACGGGAGCAACACUACUUACUUGCGAUUUGGCCCUGAUGCUCAGAUAAAAGGAGACAAUAAACGAAAAGUUCAGACAAUAAAAUUGAACCCAAGCCUACCCGGGUAUUUUGUGAAUGUUACAGGUAUUAGCGUUGAAGGAAAACGACUAGAAAUAGACCCAGCUUUGUUUCAGCUGAAACAAGGAGGCUCUGGUGGAUUUGCUAUUGAUUCAGGUGUUGGACCCACUCUUCUUGUUCCUGAGGCAUAUGAAGUCUUGAAACUAGAAAUCCUCGAAUUCUAUUUGGCGCGAGGCUUUCAUCCUGUAAAAGUAUUGCAUGUGCCGUAUGAUCUUUGCUAUGCUAUUACACCUGCAGCUAAUGCUGAUGCUAGUGUUUUCUUCCCGUCAAUGGUAAUCCAUUUCGAAGGGGCUGACCUUUUUCUGGAUGAUACUGCUGUGAUGGGGUUCGUUGCUCCUCAAUUGUUCUGUUUGAUUUUCUUGCCUACGCAUCCAUCCGGACCGAAUCUUCUGGGGGCAUUUCAGCAAGAAAAUCAAAGGUUUUUGUUUGAUGUUGGAAAAUCUACUGUGUCAUUUGUUUCUGAGACAUGUAAUGAGCAAGAAUAAGAUUAUGUGACUCUAAAAAAAUUGCAGGCUUUUCAAAAUUUUUUUUUUUCUUUUUCUUCCCAGAUUGUCAGCUUCUUUGGAUUCAGGUCCUGCAAUUGUAAAGGCCUGAUCAGUACUCAAUUUUAGACAUAGCAGGUGUUAAAAAUGAGACUGAUGCAAUAUUUAAUUACGAAUUCUCCAAAUUUGAACCCUACGUAAACUUGAUUUAGAUAAUCAUGAUGUAAGAAGCAAUAAUGAUACAUGAUUAGGUGUACAAAAAGUUAUCGUUAAUGUAAAUAUAGAAAUUUGUAGAACUGGCAGUCGCAGCUCAUCAUGAUUAGUUGUGCAAUACCUUUAAUGGUAAAGCAUUAAUGAAAUUCUAUAAAGACUAAAAACCAUUUAAACCAAAAGAUAUAGAUUUGAUUGCCGCUCACAUGGGUGGGAAAGGGAGUAGAUUACUAUUAAGCCUAAUAAUAAUAAUAAGGAGCCCCUACGUUACGAUUAACGUAACGUACACUCACACACAGCAACAGUACCAAUUCAUCCAAUUCCUCAAUACCCAAAAACGCUGAUCUAAGCUUGCUUUAGAAAAGAUAAUUAUUAGGUAAGAAACAAUGAUACAUGAUUGGUGGUGUAUAAACAUUUAUCAUUUGUGCAAUAAUAUUGAAACUUGAAACACUGAUAACAUGAUUAGUUGUACAAUAUCUUAACGUUAAUGCAAUUUUAAAAAGAGUAAAGAGCAUUUAAAUGCAAAAUCAGCACCAAUUCCUCAAAAGCCAUUUGUUCUUCUGUAUAUCCAUACAAAAUUACAAAUGAUGCAACAAUGUUCUUGCUACUCACAAAAUAAAGAGAUUAUAGCUGUGAAACCCUUUGAUUUACAGCUACAACGGGUGGCUGCAGUUGCCCUUUACAUUUACAUCCUCACCGAGUUCAUGAGUACAACUUAUAGCUUCGAAAUUGACCUCAUUCCAAGAACCUCCAUUGAUUCAAAUCUUUUCCCCAAACACCUUACUCAUGAAGAAACAUAUCAUAGAAUUGCUUCACUUUCGAGAGCUCAUGCUCAUCAUCUCAGUUCCAUGAAUUCUGCCAAAUCCUCCCGAAAACAAAGCACACCCCGAGCCUGAUCAGUGGAUGCAACCACCAACUUUUUCUUUUCCUUUUGCUAAUAUAUAUGUAACAAAGGAUCGAGUUAAUUGGUUCAAGACAAUUCUCACCUUACCUGGUUAUGGAUACUGGUAGUGGGCUAUAUGUGACUUCAAUCUGAAAGAUUGAUUAGACAUUGAUCCGGCAUUGUUUGAGCUAAGCCGUGGCAGUUCAGGUCGGGUUUGCUAUUGAUUCACGCGUUGGACUGAUAAUUCAGGUUCCUGCUGCAUAUAAAGUUUGAAAGCUGAGAUGAUCAAGCACGUUGUUAUACAAAAUGGCUGGCAUCUCGUAGAGGCAGAGAAUUCAAAGAAAAUUCCAUAUGACUUCUGCUUUUGGGUCACACCAACUGGCAUUAAUGAUUCAAAACCAUCAAUGACAAUCCAUUUUGAGGAAGCUGAUCUUGUUCUGGAGCCUAAUGCUGUGUCUCAGAAAGUUGGUGAUCCCUUAUGAAUGAAUGUUAUCCCCAGCUAUCCUAAUGGACCAAAUCUAUUAGGGGCUUCUCAGCAGGCAAACAACCAUUUCUUGUUCGAUGUUAGAAAAUUUAUUUUGUCAUUUAUUACUGAAAAAAGUAAUGAAUAGGUAGGUUACAAGGUUAAAAUGUAAUGACUGGGUAGAUUAUAAGGUUAUCAAACAGAAUAAUUAGAGUUAUCUGCAUGAACAUAUAUAAGAUAUGUAUGACAAAAUUCCAGAGGCUAACUCUUAGACUACAAUAUUUCGGUUGAGGUUGAAUCAAUAAUUUAUCCAACUCCACAGCAUUCCAUCAUAUAUUUGUAAAACUCUUGGACUAUGAGACGGGCAAUUUAGUAAAUUGAACAUUAAUUAAAUGAAACAUACUUACAAAUAUAUUUAUGUAGAUAUAUUUCAUUAUUAAAAUUAUAAUUCAUACAACACAUCAUUUACACAGUUACGUGCCACUAAAAUUCUCGUUCGUCUUAACUAUGUUACAAUACUGUCAUCAUCAUCAUAUGAGUUUUUGUUUUACCGUCAAAUUAUGAUUGAAAUUUUGACCAACCUAUCUUCUUGUCACUGUUGGUGUACCAUCACCACAGUUUGUUGAGAAUCAAAUAAAACGGCAUUGAAUGAAGUUUUCAAAGACAUAAUCCGCACUUGUCAAAAGGAUAAUCUGCACUUGUCAAAGACAAGAUCCACGCCGAACGGAUUGAAACAUUUCCUUCCGUAUUCACAUAUGUAAACUUUGAAAAAAAUGUAGUCUCUGCAUCUAUAAAUAACUCUCAGUGUAUAAUGUUUUAAUUAAGAAAUGAAAACAAGUUUCUUCAUGGUAUCAGAGCCAUGAAUACGCUCAAGUUUCUUCACGUUUCGCUGCUCUGUUUGCAACAAAAACAGAGGAAACCAAAUUCUUCCCACAACCAUCUUUCCCACCAUUUUUCUUCCUUACAACCAUUCCUACCAUUUCAGAAAUCCAUGCCGAUCAAAAAACAAGCCACCUAUACGUAAAAAACUUGAGUUUACAAAUUUAUCAACAAUCCUAUAAAUUUUCCAAGAGUGUGUUCCUCAAGAACCAAGAAUACCAUUAAAUUUCUCAGUUUCCAGUAAGUAAACUGUAAAAGUUUCGCAUUUAAACACAUUUCCACGCGCUCCCACGCACCACCCGAAACCACACCCAGUCAACCACUCGCCUAUGUCAUCUUCACGCGCUCCCACGCGCUCCAGAGGUUGAAGAAGACUUCAACCGACAUGUCGUUGUUUAUCUCCAGAGUGCAGCAGUCAUAAACGACAUGUCGUUUCGUAUUACAUUGAAACCGACAUGUCGUUUGUAAAGUAGAGACAAACCGACGUGGCGUUUAAUUUCCAGAGGUGCAGCAGUCCUAAAACGACAUAUCGUUUCUAUUCCAUCAGAACCGACAUGUCGUUUUUUCAAGCAGAGGCCAAACGACUUGUCAUUUUUUGAUCUAAAAAGGUUAUUUUUUUUUCUUCUUUCAAUCUAGACCCCAAAAAAACAAAAAAACAAAAACAAAAACAAAAAAAAACAAAAAAAAGGAAAAGGAAAAGGAAAAAAAUAAAAAAAUGGAGAAAACUCCAAUUGAAUCUGCUCAUGUUGUCAUUCAAUCUGUUCAAUCUGAUGGAGUAUUUAAUGCUGGAAUUAUCCUCACUGAGACAAACUACGAUGUUUGGUCUCAAAUAAUAGAGAUGCAUCUUGCAGAAAGAGAAAAACUCUCAUAUAUUCGUAACAACACAAAGUCAUCUGAGGAAUCUUCAAAGGAAUAUGAGAAAUGGUAUAGUGAGAACCAAAAAGUAAAAAAAUGGUUACUCAUAUCCAUGUCUCCGGAGAUCAUGAAGCGAUAUUUACGAAUUCCUAUAGCCUACGAAAUCUGGGAUGCAUUAUCAAAAGCCUUCUAUAAUGGAAGCGAUGAAUUACAAGUUUUCACUCUAAACCAGAAGGCAUUCUCUAUCAAGCAAAAUGGACAACCACUCUCUAAAUUCUACGGAGAAUUGAUCAAAAUAUUUCGAGAACUUGAUCACCGAGAUAAAGUGGUCAUGAAGGAUCCAGAAGAUGUUGUAAUAUACAGAAGGUCUGUUGAAAGAUUGAGAGUGCACAUUUUUCUUGCUGGGCUAGAUGAAGAAUUUGACCAAGUUCGUGGAGAAAUUCUACGAAAAGAUAUUAUCACAGACUUAGAAGAGUGUUAUUCUCUUAUCCGAAGAGAAGAUGUACGGCAAAGCAAACUAAACAAGAAGGUCGACUCAGAAACGUCUGCUAUGAUAGCACGACAGCAGCCUCAAAGGAAGCUUGUUGACAAGUCAUCACUCAAUUGCACUCAUUGUAGAAAGAAGGGUCAUACGAAAGAACAAUGUUUUGAAAUCAUUAGAUAUCCUGACUGGUGGGAUACUCGAAAGAAGAACACCAAACAGGGAUCAAAAACUGCAGUAGCUGAAUCCACAUCCACUACAGAUCUUAGAAAAGAAUCUUCAGUGCAAAUCGCAACCUCUAUCAGUCUAAGUAAGGCCCUUAAAACUCUUACACCUGUUAUUAAUAGUACAUGGAUAAUUGAUUCUGGGGCAACUGAUCAUAUGACUUUUGAUUCUCGAUAAGUUUCUCAAUUGAAACCAUCUUCACAAAAACAUAUUUCCACUGCAAAUGGAACCACAACCUCAGUUAUUGGGGAAGGAUCUUUACGACUCACAGAUGAAUUAAAUUUAAACUAUGUGUUAAUUGUUCCAUCUUUAGAUUAUAAUCUUUUAUCUGUGUCUCAAUUAACCACUUACUUAUCAUGUGUUGUAAUUUUUUGGCCCGAUCAUUGUGUGUUUAAGGACAUCCAAACGAAGCAAACGAUUGGUUAUGGUAUUAGACGAGGCAACUUGUACUACUUGGAGAUGUCAUCAACAAACACUGAAAAGCUAAGCCCCACACUAGUCGCAGAUAGUUCCAUAAAAAAAGGGAAAUCAGAAAUUUGGUUAUGGUAUAAACGUUUAGGGCAUGUGUCAUUUGGUUACUUAAAAAAAUUAUUUCCUAAUUUGUUUCUGAAAUUUGAUGUUUGUAACUUUAAAUGUGAUGUUUGUGAACUUUCAAAAAGCCAUCGAACUACUUUUUCAUUGUCCUUAAAUAAAAAUCAAGUUCCUUUCAUGGUAGUACAUUCUUAUGUAUGGGGGCCAUCUAAAGUUUCUACAAUUGGAGGUGCUCGUUGGUUUGUUACAUUUAUUGAUGAUUGUAGUAGAAUGACAUGAAUUUUUCUGAUGAAAUCGAAAGAUGAAGUAAACCCUUUAUUUCAAAGAUUUCAUAAGAUGGUCACGACUCAAUUUCAGACACAAAUUCGAGUUCUACAUACUGAUAAUGGAGGCGAGUAUAUGAGCACAGCAAUUCAACAGUUUCUAAAAUCACAAGGAUUUGUCUAUCAAACCACUUGUGUGGGGACACCCCAACAAAAUGGCGUUGCUAAACGAAAAAACAGACAUUUACUAGAAGUUGUUCGAGCAUCACUAAUCCAAGCCCACAUGCCAUUAUCUUAUUGGGGAAAAGCACUGGCAUCCGCAGCAUACUUGAUCAACCGAACACCUUCAAGCUCUCUUGGAUUCCAGACUCCUUUCCAGGUUCUGAAUGAUGCAAUUAUGUCACCAAAUGUGCCGAAUUUACCCCCACAUGUGUUUAGUUGUGUUGCCUUCGUUCAUUUGCCGCAACAAGACAAAUUAUCUCCUCGAGCACUACGUUGUGUGUUUGUAGGGUAUGCCUUACAUCAAAAGGGAUACUGCUGCUAUCAUCCACCAUCAAGAAAAAUAUACAUCACCAUGGGUGUCGUCUUUCAUGAAGAUAUCAUGUAUUACUUGUCAGAGCCUGAAUUUCAGGGGGAGUAUAAUGAAAAGGAAAUUCAUACUCUUACAUAUCUUCCACCUGAAGAAGGUCAAUCUUCCAUUGAGAUAGUAAACCUUCAAGAUACUGGAAAAGAUAAUGGUGAUGAUUCUCAGGCUAAGAUAAGUGAAGACACAUUUGGGGAGCACAAUAACUCAGACACAACUGCAAUCGAGAAUGAGUCACAUGAAGAAAUACCUAACCAAUCGUCUGCAGAGGAUGUUCCUACCACAAGUCCAAUCAGAAGAAUUCUUCCCUAGCGUCAAAAUAGAGGUAUCCCUAAAACCACAUAUGAGCCUGACUUCUCUAGUAGAGUCAAAUACCCUAUGAGUCAUUUUGUGUCUAACCAUCGCUUGUCAGAAUCAAAUUAGUCAUUUGUGAAUCAAUUAUCUAUUGUAUCUAUUCUUAACAGUGUGCAGGAAGCCUUAAAAGACCCAAAGUGGAAAGCGGCUAUGAAUGAUGAAAUGAGAUCUCUUCAGAAAAAUCAAACAUGGGAACUAGUUGAUCCUCCACCAGGAAAGAAACCAGUGGGUUGCCGAUGGAUCUACACUAUAAAGUACAAAGCAGAUGACUCUAUUGAACGAUACAAAGCAAGACUCGUAGCUAAGGGUUACACCCAAACCUACGGGAUAGAUUAUACCGAUACGUUUGCACCAGUAGCAAAAAUUAAUACUAUUCGUAUCUUAUUAUCAUUAGCAGUCAACUUGGAAUGGCCAGUGCAGCAGUUCGAUGUAAAGAAUGCUUUCCUCCAUGGAGACUUGUCUGAAGAAAUUUAUAUGGAUCUGCCACCAGGAUGCAGUGGACCAGAACGACUCAAUCAGAAAGUAUGCAAAUUGAAGAAAUCAUUCUACGGGUUGAAGCAAUCCCCAAGAGCAUGGUUCGGGAAAUUCACAAAGGUUAUGGUUCUUUUUGGGUAUAACCAAAGCAGUUCAGAUCAUACCUUGUUCAUUAAAAAACGACAAGGUAAAAUCACUGCCCUUAUUGUCUAUGUGGAUGAUAUGGUAGUUACAGGCAACGACGAGGAAGAAAGAAAGGCUCUUCAGAAGUACUUGUCGAGAGACUUUGAGAUGAAGGAUUUAGGAGCCUUAAAAUACUUUCUUGGAAUUGAGGUUUCUCGAUCUAAGGGAAGAAUAUUUCUAUCUCAAAGGAAAUAUGUCUUAGAUCUAUUACACGAAACGGGAAUGACAGCUUGUCAGCCUAUUGACACCCCAAUAGAAGAAGGACUGAAGUUUUGUAUUACCUCAGACCAAGUUCCAGUAGACAAAGGAAGGUAUCAAAGGCUGAUUGGAAGAUUGAUGUACUUGUCCCACACAAGGCCAGAUCUUGCUUAUGCAUUGAGUGUUAUAAGUCAGUUUAUGCAUAAUCUCGGAGAACAACACAUGAAAGCAGUAAUGCGGAUCCUGAGGUACCUGAAGACAAAUCCAGGAAAAGGAAUCUUAUUUUCCAAAAAUGAAGAUUACAGCAACAUAGAAGUUUAUAUUGAUGCAGAUUGGGCCGGAUCAGUUAGUGAUAGACCCUCUACUUCAGGAUACUUUACCUUUGUGGGAGGCAACCUUGUCACAUGGAGAAGCAAGAAACAACAUGUCGUUGCCCGUUCGAGCGCUGAAGUAGAAUAUCGAGGCAUGGCCCUUGGGGAUAAGCUCUAUCUUAAACGAUUUGGGCUAUCCAUCACAACAACCAAUACAACUAUACUGUGACAACAAAGCUGCACGAGAUAUUGCUCAUAACCCAGUUCAACACGAUCGAACAAAACAUGUUGAGGUAGAUAAAAAAUCUUAAAACUGCCGAAAAUUCGAUCAGAAGAUCAACUUGCAGAUAUUUUAACGAAGGUCAUUUCAAGCAGGGCAUUUACAAAAUUCCUAGACAAGCUGGGUAUGUAAGACAUCUAUACACCAGCUUGAGGGGGAGUGUUGAGAAUAAAAAAAAACGGCAUUGAAUGAAGUUUUCAAAGACAUAAUCCGCACUUGUCAAAAGGAUAAUCUGCACUUGUCAAAGACAAGAUCCGCGCCGAACAGAUUGAAACAUUUCCUUCCGUAUUCACAUAUGUAAACUUUGAAAAAAAUGUAGUCUCUGCAUCUAUAAAUAACUCUCAGUGUAUAAUGUUUUAAUUAAGAAAUGAAAACAAGUUUCUUCACAGUUUUCUUGAUUGGUGCACUUAAACGUAACGGGGCCAAAGUGGGGUGUAAUAUGUAGAUUCAAGAUAGCUUAAUGGUUAAGGAUUAGAAGUGAGGACUACUAAAUUUUAACGAAAAGAGGAAAAAUUGUGGAAUAGUAUGAUUAAAAAGACAUUAAAGAAGUGUGGACUAGUAGUAAGUAACGCAUAUGGAAAGAAGAAAUAAAAAAACAUCAAUGAUCUAGUUAAUUACAUUUGGGUGAUACAUAUUUUGAUAAAUUAAAAUAGUGACACAUAAUUUAAAAAUUCUCGAUCAAGUGACAAUACGUAAAUUUUUAUCAUUAAUUCUAACGAAUGAAGGGAAAAAUUAGAAAAAAAGAUUUAUUUUAGAGUUAACUACACCUGGAUGACACACAUUUUGAUAAAUUUCAAAAUAAUUACACACGUUUUAAAAAUACUUGAUUAGGUCAAAAUCCAUAAACUUUUACUAUUAAUUCUAAUGGAACAAAGAUCAAAUAAAAUAAAAAUAGUUUUUUUUUCAUUUUUCUCUCUCCCCUUCUUCCUUCCUCUUCUCUAGUUUUUUUCUCCUUUCCUCAUCUUCUUCAGUUCAUUUCCUUCUCGUUUUCUCCUUUUUUUUCAUCUUUUCAAUUCGUCCUUUUUUCUCCCUCUUUCUCUCCUUCUUUCUUUGUCUUCUCUAAGCAUCUUCUCCACACCCAUGGCAAAAUAGUAGCCAUGAGUUGCUAAGGUUGACUCAACAAGAAUUAAAAAAAAAAAAUAGUUUGAUUUAACAGAAAAAAAAAAAAUCCUUGUUAGUUAGACUGACCUAGAUUCAAUUAUAAGUAAGUAGGUACAGAAACACCAUUUUGCAACUAAUUGUUGGGGCAAAAAUAUUAUUUUCUUAUUAAUUGACUAAUUCCUUUAGUUAACGGAUUAUUCUCUAAUCAAGUAUUUUUUAACGAUGUAACACUUUUUUUAAAUAUGUCAAAACAAGGUCACUGAUGGUAAUUAACUCUAAAUUAAAUCUCUUUUUAUUCAAUUUUAUCCUUGAUAUGUUAGAAUUAACAAUAAAAGCAAUGGAUUGUAUGGUAGAAUAUUUUUAAAAAAUGUGUCAUUAUUUUAAAAUUGUCAAAACAUAUGUCAUUCAAAUGUAAUUAACCCUUUUAUAAUCAUCUAUUAGCUGUAAUGGCUUGUCUUAAUUUUCUGAAGGCACAUGGGCGCCAUGUUCAUUCAAUUGAUAGAAAUUUGGUCUAUUGAUCAGGUGUUCCGUGCCGUUUUUGUCUUGAGAAUUGAAAAUCAGCCUCAACCUGAAGGCGUGUUAGCUUUGAAAAAAAGAAAAAGAAAAAAGCGACACAUCAUUUUCAAGCUGAUUAUAAUUCUUCUUAGUCUGUGUUUCGAUGGGAGAAGAGAAAAAGAGAGAGAAAAGUAAUUUAAAUUUUAUUUUUAUUUCUAUUGCUUGACUGGACAAAAUAUACAAGAAUUUAAUUUCUAUUAAAAUUUAAUAUCUAUCAUAAUGUAAAAUUUGAAUUUCACACCAAGUAAUGAAAAAUUUAAAUUUCUCUUAUGUUGAAAAUCAAAGCUUCUAAAAUUACCUUUCAACUUUUUAACUUGUUUAAUGCCAUUAAUAAUUAUUAUUUAUAAUUUUAUUUUAUCAAUAUAAUACUAUAAAUAAUUUUAUAUUAAUAAAAUUUAAUAAAUGAUUUAAGAGAUUUAACAAAAUAAAUGAACUUAUUUAUUUUAUUUAUUUAAUGCAAAAAUAUAGAAAUAUAAAUUAACUAUUGCCAAAAUUCCACUGGAAUUCAUGUGGAUUGUUGCCCUACCACCAACAGAACACCGCCGAAUGUAUGUAUAUAUAUAAUUCUAAUAAAUCAUGAAUUGUUUUAGAACUUUUUGACAUUAAAAAUGUUUGGUAUUGAUAUUAAAUUAUAUUUCAUUACUAAUGUAGAUAGUUUAGUAUUUAAAGUAAAAGAUAAUUUUGUCCAAAGAAAAAUAAUUAUAAUUUCUUUCCCUAUCAAAUUUUAUGUCAAAUUAAAUAAUAAAUUUUAAUUUCACUAUUCUCCUUCACUCCUUUCUUCUCUCUUCCCUUUCAUUCAAUUCUUUUCCUCUCUUCCCCUUUCUUCAAGCCAAACAUGGCCUUAGUCCUUUCUUCUCCCUUCCCCUUCAUUCAAUUCUUUUCCUCUCUUCCCCUUUUUUUCAAACCAAAUAUGGCCUUAGUAUAAUUUGGCUCUCAGGGCAUAGAAGGAAAAUUGCACGGGUAAGGAAAAAUUUCUCUAUUAAUUUUUUUUCUAAUGAAAUAAACGAUCCAUAUUAAAUUCUGAAUUUGAUAUUAACUAAUUUUUUCACUACAUUUAGAAAAUUAUGAGAGAAAAAUAAUAAUAAUAAUAGUAAGAAAGAAUCAUAAUCUAUAUUGCACAGGUUGUCGCAGUGACUCGUGAGUCGUGUGUCGUUUUUCGUGGGCGGGUGACUUGGAUUUGGCCUCAUAUGUCACUGCUCGCGUCAUCUGAAUUUCUCUUUCAUAAUCUAUAUUGCACAUAAUAACAGCGAUUAAUUAAGAAGCACUGAAGCACAAAGCCGCAAACCAGAUUUGUCAUCAAACCUAGUAAUUGCAGAUUACAAAGCUUGUACCAACAACCAAAAAUGAGCUGGUGGUGGGCUGGGGCAAUUGGCGCUGCCAAGGUACAGACUUAUAAUUAGAUCAUCUCUUUCAAUUGCUGUGCUUGAAAAAUUUAUUCUUAUUAGUUCAUAUUUUUAAAAUCUUGAGUUUAAUUUUCAUUUUAAAUUACAGAAGAAAUUCGAAGAAGAUGAGCGACCACCGCAACCUCAAGACUACCAGCACGUGGGACUCGUGAUAGGCAUUACGGGAAUUGUGGGAAACAGCCUAGCUGAGAUUUUGCCCCGACAGGAUACUCCCGGGGGCCCGUGGAAGGUCUACGGAGCGGCCCGACGCCCCAGGCCCGACUGGAACACCGAUCACCCGAUCGAGUACAUCCAAUGCGACGUUUCCGACCAGGACGACACGCAGGCCAAGCUCACAAAACUCACCGACGUCACCCACAUCUUCUACGUGACGUGGGCCAGCCGUCCCACGGAAGCCGAGAACUGCGAGGUCAACGGCACCAUGCUUCGCAACGUGCUCCGUUCCGUUAUCCCGAACGCGCCAAAUCUCCGCCACGUCUGCCUCCAAACAGGAGCGAAACACUACUUGGGACCGUCCGAGUCGUUCGGCAAGAUACGGCCUCACGACACUCCUUUCACCGAAGACCUGCCAAGACUGAAUGUGCCAAACUUUUAUUACACUCAAGAAGACAUACUGUUUGAAGAAGUUGAAAAAAGAAAGGGGCCGUUGCCAUUGACUUGGUCCGUACACCGGCCUCAU
RNAcentral lists this long non-coding RNA (52675 nucleotides) under Citrus x clementina. RNAcentral describes it as "Citrus clementina (C. clementina) long non-coding RNA (CCLE_LNC002935)". The stretch from base 1778 to 1939 matches the Rfam family "U1 spliceosomal RNA". Lineage: Eukaryota; Viridiplantae; Streptophyta; Magnoliopsida; Sapindales; Rutaceae. The record is from RNAcentral.